ACAGUCCUUGUGACUUCUUUUUUGCAUGUAUAAUCCAUCUGAAUCAAACCUUGCACUUAAAAAUUGAUGUUAGAUGGAUCUGUUAAUUUGAAAGAAUUCUGAAUAAUGACUAUUUCUGUCAUUUUGUGAAACUUGUCUAAGGACUAUUUGUGAAAUUUUACACAAUGAUUAUUUAUGAAAUAUUAUGAUGUUAGUCUCUUACUCUUUUACUUUUAUAUUUUAAGCCCACUUUUUACUCUUUUUUAAUUCAAAUAUCUAUAAAAAAAUUCUCUUAAUUUUUUCACAAUUUUGUUAUUAUACACUUGUAAUGCCCUGUUCCGAAUCGUUUCCUAUGUGAGGGUGGUGACCCAAAGGCCGAGUAUCAUUAGGCUUAGGGCCAUUGAGGAAAAUAUAUUUAGACCCAUUCGGGUGUGGGUAAUGUAAUUUGGAUAAUCGGGGAGUUCAGUAUGUGUUUUGGCGCCAAGGGUUAUUUUGGUAAAGUGUCACUUUCGGGCUUUUAUGAAUUUUGGAUUUUUGUUUGAAAAGUUUUAAGGCAUGGAUAAGUCGAUAGAAGUGUAGAGCUUAUCAUUACCUUUCCGUGGAUAUAAAGAACGUCAAAAUCAGAGUUAGAGGGAAGAAGUUAUUUUCGUUUGAAGUUUAAGUGGUUUUGGGCCAAGUUGAGUAUGAUGGGUGUGCAAGGAGGUGUACGUUGGGCAUACUUAGGGAAUUAUGAGUAUGCUGGGAGUACCAGGAGUACGCAGGGUGUGACAACCCGUAAUUUAUUCCAUCACUGUAAGCCGUUCCCGUUAAUAAAACCGCUUGUAUUCCAAUUUUUCCGUUAACUUUUGGGUUAAGUUAAUGAAAUUGAGACCUUUAUUAUGAUCUCGUGAGUGUCCAAACCCAUUUGAAACACAUGAAAACACCCCAAUUUUUAAUUGGAAAAUUUUUAGUUUCGACACGUCGGGUUACGACAACUAAAUAGGGUACGACCAUAAGCCUCGUUUAACGUCAGUAUCGGGUAGAUUUCCACCGAGCCUCAAACUCAAACCCUAUAUAAGGGUGAGUGGACUUCAUUGAAGCUUUCUCUCUCUCUCUCUCUCUCUCACUCUCUCUCUCUCUCUCGCUCUACUCUCUCUCUUCAAUCCAAACUUUGAUCCAAAAAUCACCCAUUUCAAGCUCCAAAUCGGUAAGUAAUCCAUCCUAGCGUAUAGUUUAGAUUGUUUAGCUUACAAAUCCAUGUCUAAAUCAUCCAAAAAGACCAAAGACUUACGUUUACGGCCCUAGAACAGCCCCAAACCAUAAACACACUUAAAUGGGGUUUUGGAGCCCCAAAACCCUUCCAAACCACUUCUAGAGCUUAGUUAUGACUUAGGGGCUUACAUGAAUGGACUUAGAACACCAAAACCUUAAUAUUUAGGGAGUAAACAUGAGUCUACGGCCUAAGAGCAUGUUUGGACCGUAAACACCCCUUCUAAAGCCGUAAACACCAUUUAAGGUGUUAGGAUGCCCCUUAAACACCUCUUAUGCCUUGGAAUAAAGUCUAGAACCAACCACCAUUGUGUUAGGGACCUUAAACAUGAGAGAAACCACCUCCUUAGGAGAUUACGACCGUAAACCCCCCAAGGAAUGGUUCCUGGGCUGUAAACUCCUAUAAAGUGGUCAAAUGGUGCCCCAACUUCCUUCCAUGGCUUGUACUUUGGACCAGAACCACUUGUGUUUAACCUAGGACCACCAAAACACAAAAGAAAAGGGUAAGUAAGAGUUUACGGCUGUAAACUCUAUGUUUACUACCGUAAACUCCCCAUAAUGGUCCAUUUGAUGGUUUAAUCCCUUCUAAUGCCUUAGAAUUGAUCCUAGCCUAAUUCCACAAGUGUUAUAAGACCAUUAAGCAUCCAAGAACACACCACCCAUGAGUUUACGGCCGUAAACUCAUGGGGAUAUGGUCAUUAGGCCAUAAUCUCCCUUAAGAGUUUACUCUUGAAGAGCAAACUCCAUAUCUAGGCCUUACACCUCCUUAGAUGCAACCCGUACCAGUCCUAACACUUGAAUUGAAGUGUUUUUGCGCAUCGGACUGUAUAUUCUUAUUUAAUUAGUAGUUCAAGGUCUAAUUAGAUACAUUUAUGUAUCUCUUCAUAUUACAUAGGAACCUCACGUGUGUUCAAGCCCUGAACUGACACUUAGCAUCCUAGCCGACAUAUUUCUCGUCUGGUGAGUUCAUACCCCUACACCUUUUUCCGUGUUUUUCAAUGUUUUNNNNNNNNNNNNNNGGGGGGGGGGGGGGGGGAAUACAAGAAACAGUACAAGGAAAUCUUGUACUCAACUUAUUAUUUCAUUUGAAAAGUUUUCAUAUUCCGUAUGCUUUUAACACUGGAAGCCGUAUUAAACAACCGUUUGACUUGCAGAGUUAGUUUUCAAACUAAUUGCGAAACUUAUUAUAAAAUGUUAUAUUUUUUAUCUCACAAAUGAUUUUCCUUAUUUAUUUGCUGUUAAAAUCAUUAUUCUUAGAAAUUUAGACACGUCCUCUUUAACACUCCACAUAGAUACGCGAGUGGAGGACCACCUUUGUAACUAGAAUCUAAAACAGGAUUUUCCGCAUUAUUACUUGUAAAUUUGUUAUUCUUAAGAUUGGAGACACGUCCUAUGUAACACUCCACAGAGAUACGCGAGUGGAGGAGCGCCCCUAUAACCAGAAUCUCUUAGAAAGAUAGCGUGACUUGAGUGUAUAGAUCUAUACGGGGCUGACUACCCCGCACCUUGCUGCUAGCUCCAGUGGGACCGACAGGUCUACGGGUGACAAAAGUUGUGAAUGAUAUUGGCCUUCCUUUGCCAUAUCUAGUUUAUCGUAUGGUUAUAGAACUCGCAAACUUAGAUAAUAGAGAUUUGCUUUAAGUAAUAAAGAACUUAGUAAAUUAAUAACCUUAGAAAUUAGUUUACUAUUUUGAUAGUUUUAUAUACGUGUUAAAACUAACGUACUUUUCAAAGAUAAACAGGCUUUCAAGAAACUUCACACAAACACUACAAGUAUGGUAGAUUCAUGUACACUUCAUUCAGAUUCGGUAACCAACCACAAACUUUUAAGGAAAAUAAGGGUUUUUCCUGGGAUAACAAACUGUUUUUAACCAAACUGUGUAACAAAUGGAUAAAAAAACUUUACAUAUAAGAAAAUAUGGGAUUUUCUUGGAUAUCAACUUUUUUAGAAAACCAAAGAAAACUUGUUCUUUUACAGAAACAAACCGCUUAUGAACUCACCAGCUUUAUGCUGAUAUUUUAAAACUGCUUGUAUUCUCUGGUCAACAUUAGACAGGUAUCUCGCUUUCUUUUACAGAAGACGGAGGAUAUGGAAGUCAGUCUUUACUUUUUUUAAACUAAUGUAUCUAUAAAACAUGUAUUACUUUGCUUUCAAACAAAUGUAAUGAUUCCAAUGUAAUGUAAUGUUUUGUGUUUACUAUGCUUACUAUGUACAUUGGUUGUGAUACUUUACAUGAUGUCCUCCGCCCCGGAACGUUUCCACCAUCGGUUUCGGGGUGUGAAAGAUUGGUAUCAGAGCCCUUCUUUAUAGUGAACUAAGUAUACCAGACCUUACAUGGUAUAAGACUAUAAACACUAAGGGGCCGAAGUGCUCUGAACUAUAAGUAUUCUUUAAAAUAUAAGUAUUUUUCAAAAGUAUACAAGAAUACCUAAACGUUAGAAACCGUAACUACGAGUAGAACAAAAUAUAACUAAUUGGGUGUUGUACGCUGCGGUUAAACCUGGGCAGUUAUGUAGUCGUGUCUAGGGUCAAGAUAGCCUGAUCAACUAUAUUCAUUCGAGACACGACCAACAUGUGCUUAGGAGUGACUGUGGUGUGUAGCAUGCCUAAAACUUACCAAAUAUCCAAACAAGGAGUCAUCGUUGCUGCGAAACAUAAAAUACUAUAGGAGUAUUUUAGGCAAAGCCGAAUUCAUUGUAGAAAUUCGUUCCAAGUGUUGCUACUCAUUCUUUCUUUAGCGAUAAAUUCCCUUGUUUUGGUAGUUUUCCUAUAUAUUAUUGCUUAGUAGAACACUUUAUCUGUCAUAAUGAGAUAUCUCUUGUUUCAAAUCUCAUUAUUCGAUUCAGAGGAUUUACCAUCCUCUUUUUCCUAAUCAUUUUAGAUCAAUAUGCCUCCAAAGAAAGGACCCAGCUCAAGGAACAACAACCUACCGCCACCUCAUCCUUCUCAAUUCGACCCUGUCUUAUUUCAGGCAGCUGUUACUGCCGCAGUGACGGCUGCAAUGGCGCACUUGAACCUCGACAGGUUUGGCGGACCAGGAAGUAACACCUAUCCCCAAAAUCAUGAAGGUGAUCUGGGGCACCAGAAUGAGUGUAGUGAGAGUAAGAAGUUAUUAUGGAAAAAGCGAAAGGGUCAGAGUUCGCAAGGACCCUCCAAGAAGCACAAAACUAUGGCAGUCCAAGCUGCUACUACUCCUAUUGCUGCGUCUACAGCUUAAUCACCUACCAAUAGGUAUGAUGGUAACCUCCCUUGGUGCAACAGGUGCAGUUACCACCAUCGUAUCCCUGGCCCAUGUCGUGAGUUGAUCUGCAACAUCUAUAGCGAAAAGGGCCACACUGCUUGAAACUGCAAAACACCAGCCCAACCAAUCAAUCAAGCUUCAGGAGUGGGUAUCGAUCAGGCCUGCUACAUGUGUAGUGAAGUCGGGCAUUUCAAGCAAAACUGCCCAAAAGCAACAACAACCAACAACACCGGGAUAAUUCUAACAAUAAAUCAGGAGGAGGCAGUCAUUGAGCCCGUCGUUGUCACAGGUAUGUUGCUCCUCGACAACUCUUAUGCUAGUAUCCUUUUCGAUUUUGGUGCUGAGCGUAGUUUUGUUAGCCAUUCAUUCAAACGUCUCCUUAAACAUAAUCCCAAACCAUUAACCGAAACGUUUAUCGUUGAGAUGGGUAACGGUGAGAAAGAGAACGCUAACGAUAUAUUCAUAGGUUGUACCCUUACCCUGAAUGAUCAUUCCUUUCUUAUUGACCUAAUGCCAGUUUCCAAAAAGAGCUUUGAUGUUAUUAUUGGCAUGGAUUGGCUGAGUCCCAAUCAUGCUGAUAUCCUUUGUUACGAGAAAGCCAUCCGUCUCAAUCUCCCCUCUGGCCAGACUCUCAUGAUCUAUGGCGAUAAAAUCAGUCCCAACCUUCGCAUCAUUUCAUGCAUCAAAGCCUAAAAGCUUCUGCGAAUGGAGUGCCAUACAUUCCUACCCCAUGUGAUAAACGAGAAACAGGAAGUUAAAGACCUCGAGAGCGUCCCCGAAGUCUGCAACUUUCCUGAUGUCUUUCUUGAAGAGCUCCCGGGAAUUCCUCCUGAACGUCAAGUCUAGUUUCGCAUCAACCUAAUUCCUGGAGCAAAUCCUGUAGCCAAGUCUCCGUAUCGCUUAGCUCCAGCAGAAAUGCAGGAGUUAUCCAGUCAGCUUAAUGAGCUGUUCUACAAAGGGUUCAUCAAACCGAGUUCCUCACCCUGGGGAGCCCCGGUAUUAUUUGUGACAUCCCCAAAAUCUCGGCCAGAAAAGACCGAUUUUCAUUUAUGCUUUUAAAAUAUUUUCAGAGUAAAUCCUUUUGAUUUGAAAGAGUUGCGGAAUUUGUUCCCAAAAACAAAACAUGAUAAAAAAUGUUUACCGAAGCCAUUUCAUAAAAGAAAUGUAUUUUCAUUAUAAUCAAAACUCGGGGUGUCAUGUUCCGAUACAGACCAAUAAGCAUAAACGAAUACAUUACAAGUCAUAUAACAAAUAUAAACAUAUGCAGACUUGUAAACAAAAACAACUUGAUGGUUCAUCCAUUUCAUGCCCUUGCGCCACUGCCUGUAAUACAAUUAUAACUGAGUGGGUCAGGCUUGGGAGCCUGGUGAGCAUAUAGGGUUUUCAACCCACAAUAAAUAAUCAUCUUUAAUUUUCACCAACCAACAAUAACCCAAUUACCCAUUCCCGUUAUUCUCACUUUAAUGUCCCUAAAACAACUAACAUAAGGGACCUAGUCUAAGAAUAUUUCAUCGGGGCGACAACACAUGCUUCGGGGGUACCUCAGCAAUAUAAGUCAAAUAAGGCAACCAUGAGGGGGAUGGAGUACAGCGAAUGAACACCCAAGUUCAUUAACACCUACAGGUGGCGAACCUGCUAAUGUUUCCACAAGACUGUCUAGAAUAGCCAGUGGUCGUCAUCUAAACUCCGCUAGAUGACUCAAUCAAACAACAACGAGGCCUCUCAUCUGUUUAUUACACACCAACUGUCUACCCAUGUUCUACCCAACAUAUUAGUAGAUAAAAAUAUACAUUUGUAUACAUAGUUUAAAGAAAACCUGUAUAGCAUGCUUUAAUCAACACAUAUAUCACAUAACAGAUGAGGCACACACACACAUAACACAUAUCUCAUAAAGAAAUAAGCAGAUCUAUAAGAUAGAAGAGAGUGAAUACUCAUUCACACAUAACACAACCAAAUAUAUACACAUAGCACGUAUUUUUAUAUAAAAUACUUCGUAUUAUUGUAUUAGAAGAAAUAACUACACACUCACUUGAUCAGAAGAUGAUCGGACAGCACUACGGCUUAUAGAAGUAGUAAUCCACAGCAGAUCUGGAAGAUCUUCUCGAAAAUCGAACUUCUCGCGGGCAGAGCUUCGACUCGGGAACCGCACUUUUCGGGAUCUUCAGGAUCUCGGGACUUGCCUCGGGGCUAGAGUAUGAUACCGGGACUUCGGGGUAGCUUCGGGGGUUUUUGCACAGAGCUUCGACACGAAAACGAGAGGGAAUUGGCAAAAAUACCCGGAACCCUCGCAUCCUAUUUAUAGGAGGCUGGAGCCUCGGAGUACGCGGGGCGUACUGCGUUACGCGGGGCGUACUGCCCAAAACGUCAUUGCUUACGUAUCCGAAGUGCUCGAGUGCGAGUGUCGACAUCCCUCGGAGUACGCGGGGCGUACUCGAGUACGCGGGGCGUACCUCGGAUCAGAUCGGUGACUCCUUCGGAUAAUGCUUCCGAAUUUUGAUUUAAAUAUAAAUACAAAAUGAUUAAUAAACUUCGGAAAUUCAUAACUUCUUCAUACGAACUCCGUUUUCGACGUUCUUUAUAUCCACGCGAAGGUGAGACCAUGCUCUACGACUUUCGUUUAGACUCCGUCGGCUAAUUUUGACUUUAUUUUUAUUAAUUAUUUUUAAUAGGCCGGGACAGAAACUUUCGUUAUAAAUUCAUAACUUCUUCGUUUGACGUCCGUUCUCGCCUAACUUUUUAUCGUUUCAAUACCAACAAUGAGAUCUUCGAUUCUCAUUUAGAUUGCUUCGGCUAACAACCGCUCGAUCUCAAAUCGAGUAAAACAGGCUGUAUACCGCUAAGCCGAAACUUCGAUAAAUCAUAACUUCCUCAUACGAAGUCAGAUUUGGGCGUUCUAUAUAUAUUCGGAAACCUUGUUUCAACUACUACAACAUAAAUCAAAGAUAUUAAGUUUAUUUUACACUUAAAUUUUGACGCUUAUUUUUAUUCUUAAUUAAUCAAACCACAUAAUUAAGCAAUUAAGCACAAAACACAUAAUACUCAAAUAAUACAAUCUUAUUAUUUCAAAACGGGUUACAAAGGUUAACCUAGACUAUUACAUUGCUAAAAAUGGCAAGCCCGGAAACACAGGCGUUACAAUUCUCUCCACCUUAGAAUGAUUCCGUCCCCGGAAUCACACAUCAACAAACAAAUGCGGAUAGCGACUCAACAUGUCACUCUCCGUCUCCCAGGUGAGAUUCGGCCCAUUCGUGUGUUUCCAUCGGACAAGCACUAACCCAAUCAUUUUGCGUCACAACUUCUUAGUCUUUUGGUCCACAAUUGCCUUUGGUUCUUCAAUGAACCUUUUGUUCUCAUCAAUUCUCAAUUCAGAAAUUGGAAUUAUAUCGGGAACUUCUCCCGUGAACUUCCUCAAAUAACACACAUGAAAGGUGUUGUGAAUUCCAUUCAGUUCUUCGGGUAAUUCGAGCUUGUAAGCUUGAUUCCCAAUCCUCUGAAGGACUUUAAACGGUCCAAUAAACCUUGGACUCAACUUUCCCCUUUUACCAAAUCUUAUAAGUCCCUUCCACGGCGAGACUUUAAGCAAAACCGAAUCUCCAACCUCAAAAGUCAUCGGUCUUCGCUUCUUGUCAGCAUAGCUCUUUUGACGAUCUUGAGCUGCUAACAUUCUUUCCCUAAUUAUUUUCAACUUUUCAGCAGUUUGAUGAACCAUCUCCGGUCCCAUAAACUGCUUUUCCCCAGCCUCAAGCCAACAAGACGGCGUACGACACUUCUGUCCAUACAAAGCUUGAUAAGGUGCCAUCUUAAUGCUCGAGUGAAAACUAUUAUUAUAGGAAAAUUCUACCAACGGUAAAUGUUCAUCCCAAUUACCUAGGAAUUCCAAGGUACAUGCUCUCAGCAUAUCUUCAAGUGUUUGUAUUGUUCUUUCACUCUGACCAUCAGUCUGCGGAUGGUAAGCUGUGCUUAAACAUAACUUGGUACCCAUUUCCUCUUGUAGACUUUUCCAAAACCUUGAGGUGAAACGGCUAUCACGAUCCGAUACAAUCGUUAACGGAACACCGUGAAGCCUCACAAUUUCCUUCACGUAAGAAUUCGCAAGCUUUUCCAUAGACCAUUUCUCCCUGGCCGCUAUGAAAUGCGCACUCUUAGUGAAUCGAUCAACGACCACCCAAAUCAUGUCGUGACCAUUCUUUGUUCUGGGCAGUUUAGUGACAAAAUCCAUAGCAAUGUCUUCCCACUUACCCAUAGGCACAGGCAAUGGUUCUAAACUCCCGUAAGGUUUCUGAUGUUGUGUCUUGACUCUCGCACAAGUCACACACUCGGCCACAUACUUUGCAACAUCAAGCUUCAUCGUCGGCCACCAGUAGUAGGGUUUCAGGUCCCUAUACAUUUUAGUGCUACCCGGAUGAAUUGAGUACAUGGUUUUGUGAGCUUCUUCCAUCAGAAGAUCCCUAAUUCCUCCUGACUUAGGUACCCAAAUACGAUCUUGGAAUACCUUCAGUCCAUGACCGUUAGUACCAAACACCAACGUUUUACCCAAACGUUCCUCCUUUCGGUCAUUUUUCUCAGAAGCUUCCUCUUGAGCUUUCUUUAUACUUUCCACAAUAGUCGAGACAACUUCAAUUCUCAACGCUCUUGGCCUCUUCCUUUCAAGAUUGACUUUCCGACUGAGAGCAUCAGCAACAACAUUAGCUUUACCGGGGUGGUAAAGUAUCUCGCAGUCGUAGUCUUUAAGUAAUUCUAGCCAGCGUCGUUGCCUCAUAUUCAAUUCUUUCUGAUUAAAGAGGUAUUGGAGACUCUUAUGAUCAGUGAAAAGUUUGCACUUCGUGCCAUAGAGGUAAUGCCUCCAUAUUUUCAGAGCGAAAACUACCGCUGCCAACUCCAAAUCAUGAGUCGGGUAAUUCUUUUCAUGCUCUUUCAGCUGUCGAGACGCAUAUGCUAUCACCUUUUCUCUUUGGGUCAAAACACAACCCAAUCCAACACCAGACGCAUCGCUAUAAACAGCGAAGUCUUCAACUCCAUCGGGUAGAGAAAGUAUCGGUGCCUCGCAUAGCUUCUUCUUUAACUUCUCGAAUGCUUCUUUAUGCUUCUCACUCCAAGCAUAAGUAGCUCCUUUGUGGGUCAAAGCUGUUAAUGGAGUAGCAAUCGAAGAAAAGCCUUGGAUAAACCUUCGGUAAUAUCCGGCUAAUCCUAAAAAGCUUCGAAUCUCCGUGGGACUUUUCGGUUGUUCCCACUUCGUCACAGCUUCGAUCUUCGCUGGAUCAACCAUUAUCCCUUCUUGGUUGACCACGUGACCCAAGAAUUGGACCUCACGAAUCCAAAAAUCACAUUUGGAGAACUUCGCAUAAAGCUUCUCCUUCUUCAAAACUUCUAACACUUCUCGCAAGUGUCUGCCAUGCUCCUCCUGGCUUUUCGAGUAGAUCAGAAUGUCGUCUAUGAACACUAUCACGGAUUUAUCAAGGAAAGGAUUACAAACCCUAUUCAUCAAAUCCAUGAACGCUGCUGGAGCAUUGGUUAGUCCAAACGACAUAACCAAGAACUCGUAGUGUCCAUAUCUAGUUCUGAAUGCAGUCUUCUCGAUAUCUUGCUCUCUUACUUUCAGCUGAUGAUAUCCUGACCUAAGAUCGAUCUUCGAGAAAUAGCUCGAACCUUGCAAUUGAUCAAACAGGUCAUCAAUCCUCGGCAACGGAUAUCUAUUCUUUAUUGUUGCCUUGUUCAGCUCUCUGUAAUCGAUGCACAUUCUCAUACUUCCAUCUUUCUUCUUUACAAAUAACACCGGAGCUCCCCAGGGCGAUGAACUAGGUCUAAUGAAACCUUUGUCCAAUAACUCCUGAAGUUGCAUCAUCAGCUCCUUCAUCUCCGUCGGUGCUAAUCGAUAAGGUGCUUUUGCUAUUGGCGUGGUUCCUGGUAACAAGUCUAUUCUGAACUCCACUUGUCUAUCAGGUGGUAAUCCAGGAAGAUCCUCGGGGAACACUUCCGGAAAAUCACACACCACUGGAAUGCUCUGCAUCACCUUCUUUUCCUUCUUAGCAUCAAUCACAAAUGCUAAAUAUGAUGUACAUCCCUUGGUCAAACACUUUCUGGCUUUCAUUAGAGAAAUGAUUCCAGAAUUCACUCUGCGUUUGUCCCCAUACACCAUAAACGAAUCUUUCCCAGGCGGGUUUACUUUAACUAUCUUCUUCUUGCACAAAAUUUCGGCAUCAUUGGCGCUAAGCCAAUCCAUUCCCAAGACGAUGUCGAAACCAUUAAGUUCGAUAGGCAAUAAUUCCUCGUGAAACUUAUUCCCAUUAAGGUCGAUUAAGAUGUUUUUCAUACGAUGGCUAACAGGUACAAACUUGCCACUAGCUACUUCGACUAAUAAAGCAUUAUCUAGUCUAUCAAUAGGCAAAGCUAGCUUUCUACCAAACUCAUGCGAAAUAAAGGAGUAGUUGGCUCCAGAAUCAAACAAUAUAUGAGCAGGUAAUUCGUUUACGAGAAAGGUACCUGAAGCGACAUCAGCUUCAUCUUUCGCAGCCUCAAGUGUCAUCUGGAAGGCUCUCGCCUUCGGCUUUGGUGGAAUGUUGGGCCUAGCUGCCUCCUUCUUCUUCGGAUAGUCUUUCAAAAUAUGCCCCUCUUCAUUACGCCCAAAACACAUCCUUUUGUUGUUCGUACAUUCAUUGGCAAAAUGUCCGACCAUUCCAUACUUGUAGCAGGUUAUAUCCUCGCUACAUUUCCCAAAUUGUUUUUUCUUACACUUAUCACACCACUUCGCUUUGCCUUUCCUCCAACCAAACUUUUUCGAAUCAGAUUUCGAAAAUUUUCCUUUCUUACCGGAACCAGAUGUUCCCUCAAACUUUCUUUUCUCACCAACAUCAACCUUGUCGGUGGUUCUCCCCUUGAUCAUGUUCUCCACAGACUUGGCAGCCCAGAUAGCUGCCUCUAGAGUAAGUGCCUGACGUACUGGCACCUCGUACUCCCAUGGAAGUCCCUUCGCAUACCGAUCCACCUUUGUCAGCUCGUCUGGAACGAUACGCAAGGCAAACUCCAUCUUAUCGGUGAAGUUAUUGGUGUAUUCAUCAACUGACAUGCUGCCCUUCGUCAAUGUCAGAAACUUGUUCUCCAACUCCAACAGAUUUUGAGCCGAGCAGAACUUGCGCUUGAACUGCACCAAGAACUCUGCCCAUGACAAUUGCAGUGGCUCAUUAGGGCUUAAGGUCUUCCCUAGAGUGUUCCACCAACGAACGGCUCCACCUCGGAAUUGACGCACGGCAUAGAUAGUCUGCAACUUACCUCUGCAGCCACACGUCAUGAAGGCUAGCUCCAUUUCGGAGAUCCAAUCCAUAACCCCAAUCGGAUCCUCCUUUCCAUUGAAGGUCGAUGGUUUACAAGUCAAAAAGUCCUUGUACUUGCAUCCCAUUCCAUCAUUCCUUCCAUCAUGGUUAUCUUGCCUAACUAUCGGUGGGUUGGCUGGACCAACAGACCCACUGAAGUUUCCACCUUCCGAGUGCCCUUCAUUCAGUUCAGGCUCUUCCACACGAAUCGACAGUUCUUCACGAUUUUGUUGAAGCAACCGUCUAGUUUCAUCCAUCUGACGAUCCAACAUCGUCUGAAUCAUCAAUUGCACACCAGCCAUGGUUAUUGGCUCAGGUGCUGCUGCUACGACAGGUAUUGGCUCAAUCACUGGUGGUUGAUUCCUGUUUUCGUCAGCAUUUCCAACUCCACUUCUUGUUCUCACCAUUUUGAUCUACACCGAAUAAGGUGAAAUUAGAUCCUCAAUCAUGAUAGAUAUUCAAAUCAUCCUUAUCACUCCGAAACGUUUACAUGCUAGUUCUAAUAUCGUAGACGUACGCUUAGAAUCCUACACACAUAAGGUUUCUAGAUCCGGUCGGCAACAGACCAUAGAUCCGAACAAAUAAUAUCAUAUAUGGCAACAUAUAACAUUUAGCACAUAAAGCAUUUUAGGCAACUUUCCUAAAAUAAACUAGUGCUCGUGUCUAAAACACAACAGACACGCAUCUCAAAACUUCACUUAGCAUUCUAAGUUUAAGUCUAGAAAUCCUACAAAUUCCUAGUUCGCUUAAACUAAUGCUCUGAUACCAACUGUGACAUCCCCAAAAUCUCGGCCAGAAAAGACCGAUUUUCAUUUAUGCUUUUAAAUAUUUUCAGAGUAAAUCCUUUUGAUUUGAAAGAGUUGCGGAAUUUGUUCCCAAAAACAAAACAUGAUAAAACAUUGUUUACCGAAGCAUUUCAUAAAAGAAAUGUAUUUUCAUUAUAAUCAAAACUCGGGGUGUCAUGUUCCGAUACAGACCAAUAAGCAUAAACGAAUACAUUACAAGUCAUAUAACAAAUAUAAACAUAUGCAGACUUGUAAACAAAACAACUUGAUGGUUCAUCCAUCUCAUGCCCUUCCGCCACUACCUGUAAUACAAUUUAAAACUGAGUGGGUCAGGCUUGGGAGCCUGGUGAGCAUAUAGGGUUUUCAACCCACAAUAAAUAUCAUAUUUAAUUUUCACCAACCAACAAUAACCCAAUUACCCAUUCCCGUUAUUCUCACUUUAAUGUCCCUAAAACAACUAACAUAAGGGACCUAGUCUAAGAAUAUUUCAUCGGGGCGACAACACAUGCUUCGGGGGUACCUCAGCAAUAUAAGUCAAAUAAGGCAACCAUGAGGGGGAUGGAGUACAGCGAAUGAACACCCAAGUUCAUUAACACCUACAGGUGGCGAACCUGCUAAUGUUUCCACAAGACUGUCUAGAAUAGCCAGUGGUCGUCAUCUAAACUCCGCUAGAUGACUCAAUCAAACAACAACGAGGCCUCUCAUCUGUUUAUUACACACCAACUGUCUACCCAUGUUCUACCCAACAUAUUAGUAGAUAAAAAUAUACAUUUGUAUACAUAGUUUAAAGAAAACCUGUAUAGCAUGCUUUAAUCAACACAUAUAUCACAUAACAGAUGAGGCACACACACACAUAACACAUAUCUCAUAAAGAAAUAAGCAGAUCUAUAAGAUAGAAGAGAGUGAAUACUCAUUCACACAUAACACAACCAAAUAUAUACACAUAGCACGUAUUUUUAUAUAAAAUACUUCGUAUUAUUGUAUUAGAAGAAAUAACUACACACUCACUUGAUCAGAAGAUGAUCGGACAGCACUACGGCUUAUAGAAGUAGUAAUCCACAGCAGAUCUGGAAGAUCUUCUCGAAAAUCGAACUUCUCGCGGGCAGAGCUUCGACUCGGGAACCGCACUUUUCGGGAUCUUCGGGAUCUCGGGACUUGCCUCGGGGCUAGAGUAUGAUACCGGGACUUCGGGGUAGCUUCGGGGGUUUUUGCACAGAGCUUCGACACGAAAACGAGAGGGAAUUGGCAAAAAUACCCGGAACCCUCGCAUCCUAUUUAUAGGAGGCUGGAGCCUCGGAGUAUGCGGGGCGUACUGCAGUACGCGGUGCGUACUGCUUCCGAAAUCGUCAUUGCAUGUGUCAUCCGAGCCACUUGCUGCGAGUGUCGACACCUUCGGAGUACGCGGGGUGUACACGAGUACGCAGGGCGUACCUCGGAUCAGACCGGUGACUCCUUCGGAUAAUGCUUCCGAAGUUCCAAUUAAAUUUAAUUACAAAAUAUUUAAUAAACUAUGGAAAUUCAUAUCUUCUUCAUACGAACUCCGUUUUCGACGUUCUUUAUAUCCACGGAAAGGUGAGACUACGCUCUACAACUUUCGUUUAGACUUCGUCGGCUAAUUUUGACUUUAUUUUUAUUAUUUAUUUUUAAUAGGCCGCGACAGCAAAACUUCGUUAUAAAUUCAUAACUUCUUCGUUUGACGUCCGUUCUCACCUAACUUUUUAUCGCUUCGAUACCAACAAUGAGAUCUUCUAUUCUCAUUUAGAUUGCUUCGGCUAAAAACCCCUCGGUCUCCAAUCGAGUAAAACAGGCUGCAUACCGCUAAGCCGAAACUUCGAUAAAUCAUAACUUUCUCAUACGAAGUCAGAUUUGGGCGUUCUAUAUAUUCAGAAACCUCGUUUCAACUACUACAACAUAAAUCAAAGAUAUUAAGUUUAUUUUACACUUAAAUUUUGAUGCUUAUUUUUAUUCUUAAUUAAUCAAACCACAUAAUUAAGCAAUUAAGCACAAAACACGUAAUACUCAAAUAAUACAAUCUUAUUAUUUCAAAACGGGUUACAAAGGUUAACCUAGACUAUUACAUUGCUAAAAGUGGCAAGCCCGGAAACACAGGCGUUACAUUAUUUGUGUAGAAGAAAGAUGGAUCCUUUCAGAUGUGCAUAGACUACCGCGAGUUGAACAAAUUGACUGUCAAAAACCGUUAUCAUCUUCCUAGAAUAGAUGACGUUUUCGAUCAACUUCAGGGAGCCAGUUACUUCUCGAAGAUAGACCUUAGAUCAGGGUACCAUCAGCUUUGAGUUUACAAGAAUGAUGUUUCCAAGACAGCAUUCAGGACUUGAUAUGGUCACUACGAGUUCGUAGUGAUGCCCUUCGGUCCAACCACUUUCCUUGGUUACAUGGUAAGCGAGGAGGGUAUACAUGUGGACCUGUCAAAAAUCAAGGCGAUAGAGAAUUGGUCGGCACCGAAGACACCCACAGAACUCCGUCAAUUCUUGGGUCUCGUCAGCUACUAUCAUAGAUUCAUUCAGAAUUUUUCCAAGAUCACCAAACCCCUAACCACUUUGACACAGAAAGGUGUACUCUUUUGUUGAAGUGAAAAGCAAGAUACCGCAUUCCGAACGUUGAAGCGAGCCCUGUGCAGCGCACCUAUUCUGUCCCUGCCCGAAGGAACAGAGGAUUUCUUUGUCUAUUGCGAUGCGUCCAAUCAAGGCUUAGGUUGUGUGCUUAUGCAGAGAGGAAGACUUAUCGCUUAUGCCUCGAGACAACUAAAGGCACACGAAGUUAACUACACGACUCAUGAUCUGGAGCUAGGAGCAGUGGUCUUCGCACUGAAGAUUUGGAGGCAUUAUCUUUACGGAACCAAGUGCACAAUCUUCACUGACCAUAAAAGCCUGCAUCACAUCUUCAAUCAGAAAGACUUAAACAUGAGGAAACAGCGAUGGGUAGAGCUGCUCAGUGACUACGAGUGUGAAAUCCGCUACCAUCCCGGUAAGGCCAAUGUGGUAGCAGAUGCCCUUAGCCGACAGGAAAUCUCAAGCAACAAGGCCAAGAUGUUGACGAUGACCAUCCAUUCCCACUUAUCCGUUGUAACGCCCGCAAAUCCGGGCUAGUCAAUUUAGAGGCAAUAGGGGUCGAAAAUGACUUUUUGACAAAAGAUUACUUAGAAUAAAUAAUCUUAACCAAGUUGUAGUAUAUGUCACGAGGUUUCCGUACAUAUAAAGAACGCCGAAAUCCGAGUUAUAACGAAGAAGUUAUGACCCGUCGAAGUUUCGCGAUAGAACCGGCACGGCACCGGGAAGCAUAAAUAGUGAAUUUACGAUAGAGCGAGAUUUAGCCUUAGCGAUCUAAACAAAUGUCGUACAAUAUGUUAAACUAAGAACAUCGAUAAAAAGAACGCCCAAAUCUGACUUCGUAUGAAGAAGUUAUGAUUUUUUGAAGUUUCGGAAUAGCAGUGUGUAGCCCGAAAUUCGAAUAUUAGAUCGAGCAGUUUUUAGCCGACACGACCUAAAUGAGAAUCGAAGAUCUCGUUGAGAUUAGCGUAACGAGAAAAAUAUGGGCGAAAACGGAUGUCGGAUGAAGAAGUUAUGAGGAUUUAACGGACCAAUCGUGUCCCGGCCCGUUANGUUAAUAAUAUAACUUUUAAAAUAAAGUCAAGAUUAGCCAAUAGAGUCUAAACAAAAGUUGUAGAGUACGUUCCCACCUUCGCGUGGAUAUCAAGAACGUCGAAAAUGGAGCCCGCAUGCGAAAGUUAUGAUUUUUAGAAGUCGAGAAUGCAAUUUGCGAAGGCUGAUAAGGAGCUGAUGACGUGGCACAUUGUGGAUCGUCCAUCGCUGAUCAGAUCUCGCUUCAGAUGAAGAACACCUCGUCCUCGCUUACGCUCUGCGUCCAAAGCCAGUACGCACCGCGUACCCUCGCCCUUACCUCUUUCGAUGUUGCGAGCCAGCUGGUGCGAAGCUGGCACUCUUAUCCGAUGACUACGCCCCGCGUAGGUCCGAGGUACGCCUAGCGUACCGAGGCCUCGUAGGGCUAUAAAAGGAGGCCGAGAUUUCUUCAUUUUUCACACCAAAAUCACUUCUCUCUCUACAAGCUUUCUCUAUCUAAGAGCUAUAAAUUCCCCUAAGCCCUAGUUAAACCCCUUAGCACCCUAGGGAAGCCCCGAGGCUCCCGGAGUCCCGAGAAAAAGGAGUUUUUCGGUUUCGAAACGUUGCUCCAAUUAAGUCCUGGUUUUCGAUAAAAUUUGCUGUAAGUAUGCUACGCUUACGCAAUUUUUAAUAUAGCUUUCAAAUAAUUAUAGGAAUGUUAUUAGGUCCUUAAAAUAAUUAUUUGGGCUAUUAUUAUGAGUUAUAUCGAGUAUUAUUAACGCUUAAUAAUACUCGGACUAAUUAAUUUGUCGCGGUUAUCGUUAAACUAAACCCUAGUGGUAUCGAUACUAGGUUUUAUCGAAGGAAUAUCGUUUUGAGAGUAUCGAAGCGCUGUCCGAGUGCUGAGUCACCACCUAAUCAAGUGAGUGCAUAGUCUCUUUCAUCUUACACAUAGAUAUGAAGUAUUUUAAUAUAAAUUACGUGCUAUGUGUGCAUAUUGUUUGAAUACUUGUUGUCUAUGCUGGAUGAAUGAUUUAUACAUGUUUUAAAUGAUUUAAACUGUAUAUUUAUUUUAUAUCUACAAAUAUGUUGGGAUAAAACAUGGGUAGAUGAAAUAGUUGGUGAGUGAUGAAAUAAAAUAAUGAGAGAUAGGUGAUGAUAGAUAGGUGACUAUGAAUUGGUGAUGUAGGAUACUACAACCUUGUCCGACAAUUUGGAGAUGUAGUCAUCUACCAGAGUAUAGAUGGCGACCACGGACUAUUAUAGACAACCCCGUGGAAACACCAGCAGGCUAGCAACCUGUAGGUGAUGAAUUACGAGUUCAGGCGAUGUUGUAACUACGUAUUCAUGCGAUGAUAGUCUAACCCUUAUUAUGAAGUACGAGUCCAGGCGAUGUUGUGGCUACGUAUUCAUGCGAUGAUAGACUAACCCUUAUCAUGAUUUACAAGUCCAGGCGAUGUUGUGGCUGCGUAAUCAUGCGAUGAUACCCUAACUCUUGCUAGACACAUAUUGAGGGAGUAAUCCCCGGAUUAGUAUUGUCUAUGCAAUGUAGGCGAUGAUCCUUAGGUAAAGUUCGUAAGAACAAUCAUAUAAGGAAAUACGAUGUAAGGAGAUGAAAAGUAAAUAUGAUAUAGGAGAUGACCCUUGAGAUAAUAUCUUUAGGGAAGACUAAAAGAAGAUAACGGGGAUGGGUAAUUGGGUUGAUUGUUUGAUUGUUUAAACAUAAUAACUAUAUUAUUGUGGGUUGAAAACCCUAUGUACUCACCAGGUUUCCCAACCUGACCCACUCAGUUUAUUUACAUCACAGGUGACGAUAUGAAGUGACAUUACACUGAGAGAUUUAAAGAGAUGUAGAUCACUAGUGUAAAUAAUUGUAAGUUCUGUUUAUGCUUAUGUUUCUGUAUUAACGAUGACAUCCCAAACGUUUUAAAAUGAAAUAAAUACGUUUCUUCGAAAAUGUUUUAAUAACGUAUUUACCAUGUUUUUCUGGGAACAAAUUCCGCAACAUUUUUAUAAAAUGAAGUACUCUGAUUUUUAUAAAGCAUAAACAAAAUCGGUCUUUUCUGGCCGUGAUUUUGGGGAUGUCACAGUUGGUAUCAGAGCAUUAGUUUAAGCGAACUAGGAAUAUGGAUUUAUUUCUAGACUUAAACUUAGAAUGCUAAGCGAUGAUUGUGAGGUGUGAGCACUAGCUUAUUUUAGGAAUGAUGCCUAAAUUGCUUUUAUGUGCUAAAUGAUUUGUUAUGCUAUAGUUUGAUCGGAUCUAUGGUCUGUUGCCGACCGGAUCUGGAAACCUUAUGUGUUUAGGAUUCUAAACGUACGACUACGAUAUUAGAACUAGCAUGUAAACGUUUCGGAGUGAUAAGGAUGAUUUAAACGUCAAUCCUAAGUAAAGGUCUAGAUUCACCUCAUUAGGUGUAUAGAUCAAGAUGGUAAGAACCCGUAGUGGAAACGUAAAUGCAAAUGGGAACAGAAACCAACCCCCAGUGAUUGAGCAAAUACCGGUGAUGGAAGCCACUGCUGAGCCAGUCACAAUGGCCGGAGUGCAAGCGAUGAUCCAAGCGAUGUUGGAUCGUCAAAUGGAGGAAACCAGGCGUUUGCUCCAGCAAAAUCGAGAGGAAGCGACCAUUCAGAUCGAACGGCCCGAGUUGAACGAGGGGCAGACUGAGGAGGGAAACUACAGUGGGACUGUUGGUCAAGCCAACCCACCAAUGGUUAAGCAAAACCACCAGGAUGGAGGAAAUGAUGGACGUGGAUGCAAAUACAAGGAUUUCAUGGCGUCCAAACCACCGAGUCUAUCUGGAAGCCCGACGCCGGUGGAAGUCAUAAACUGGAUCUCCGAGAUGGAGACGAUGUUUGAGAGUUGUGAGUGUAGCAACAGGCAAAAGACCGCUCUCGCGGUUCCUCUGUUGAAAUCUGGAGUACUAAGCUGGUGGAAGCUACUAGCUGAUUCAAUGCCCAAAGGAGAAGCGAGCAAGAUGUCAUGGGAGGAUUUUUUGGUGCAGCUAAAAAUGAAGUACUGCUCUGAGCAGGAUCUACUAGAGAUUAACAACGAGUUUCAAAAUCUAAAGAAGGGAAAGAUGAGUGUCAUCGAGUAUGCUGCAAGUUUUACGGAGAAAAUGAAGCUUGUUCCUUAUCUAGUUCCAACUGAACUCUCCAAGGUCAAUAAGUUUGCCCAUGGAUUACCAGCAGACUUUGGUCCAAUGGUCAAACAAGCAACCACUUUGAAAGCCGCCAUCUGGGCAGCCAAGAAUGUUGAGACCCAAAUAAGAGAAAAGGGUCUGGAGAAAGUUGAAGUUGGUGAGAAGAGGAAGUUGGAAGGAUCCUCAAGACCUGAUAAUAAGGGAAAGUUCUCGAAGUCUAACCGGGACGACCGAAGGAAUGAAGCCAAGUGGUGUGAGAAGUGCAAGAAGAAGCACUUCGGAAGAUGCGAUGGUGAAGUGACGUGCUAUAAGUGUGGUAGGACCGGUCACUAUUCCAGAGAUUGUACAUUCGACAACAAGAAGUGCUACGAAUGUGGAAAUGAUGGGCAUAUUUCAAAGAACUGUCCAAAGAAAAACGAAGCUGCAAGACCAAAUGCACCAUAGAAACCAGGGGCAUUCCACAUGAUCCUCAAUGAUGCAGACAACAAUGCGAGGAAUCAAGAAUGAAGACUUCUUAUCCGAAGAUCGGAUUAUUCAGUAGCCAUAGUUUCGUAUGAUGUACUCACCAGGUUUCCCAACCUGACCCACUCAGUUUUAUUUACAUCACAGGUGACGAUAUGAAGUGACAUUACACUGAGAGAUUUAAAGAGAUGUAGAUCACUAGUGUAAAUAAUUGUAAGUUCUGUUUAUGCUUAUGUUUCUGCAUUAACAAUGACAUCCCAAACGUUUUAAAAUGAAAUAAAUACGUUUCUUCGAAAAUGUUUUAAUAACGUAUUUAUCAUGUUUUUCUGGGAACAAAUUCCGCAACAUUUUUAUGAAAAGAAGUACUCUGAUUUUUACAAAGCAUAAACAAAAUCGGUCUUUUCUGGCCGAGAAAAUGGGGAUGUCACAUCUGUACAGAUCCGAGAAGCUUAGUUAGAAGCCAUCGGGUCUGCUCUAGCAGCCCGAGAUACCUUAGUAGAAAUAGGAGAUGAUUACUAUGGAUUUAAUCACCAAGUUACCCAAAUCUCCGAGUGGGUACGAUACCAUUUGGGUAAUUGUCGAUCGUUUGACAAAAUCCACUCACAUCCUUCCGAUUAAAGAAUCGUUCAAGAUGGAAAGACUCACGCGAAUCUAUAUCCAAGAGAUAGUCCAACUAAACAGUGUACCUGUGUCCAUUAUCUCCGAUCGAGAUAGUAGGUUUACCUCAAGGUUUUGGUAGUCCGUUCAGAAAGCUCUUGGAACUAAGCUGGAUAUGAGUAUAGUUUAUCAUCCUCAUACAGAUGGGCAGAGUGAGAGAACUAUCCAAACCUUGGAAGACAUGUUGAGAGCCUGUUUCAUUGAUUUUGGAAAGUAGUGGGGCACCCAUUUACCUUUGAUCGAGUUCUUAUAUAACAACAGCUACCACAUCAGUAUCAAGGCUGGCCCAUUCGAAGCCCUCUACGGUCGCAAGUGCAGAUCUCCUCUGUGUUGGGUUUGGGUAGGGGACACGCAGCUAGUUAAGAGUCGAGUCUCCGACAGUGCUCUCACUAGUCCUAAAAUCAUCUCUGAAACCACCAAGAAGAGCAUCCAAAUCCGAGAACGACUGAAAGCUUCAUGAGACAGACAAAAGAUUUACGCCAAUAAACGACGAAAAACCUUGGAAUUCCAGGUUGGAGAUCGUGUCCUGUUGAGGGUCUCACCCUGGAAAGGCAUGAUACGCUUUGGAAAGCGCGGAAAAACUUAACCCAAGGUACAUAGGACCUUUCGAGACCCACGCUAGGAUUGGUCCCGUAGCCUACAUACUCCGACUACCUCAAGAUCUUAGCAACAUCCAUCCUGUCUUCCACGUCUCUAAUAUUAAAAAGUGUUUAUCCAACGAAACACUAGUGACCCCUCUUGAUGAGAUCGAAAUCAAAGAAAACCUGAACUUCGUGUAAGAACCAAUCGAAAUCAUGAAUCAAGAGAUAAAACGUACGAAACAAAGUCGUAUCCCGAUACUGAAGGUUUGCUGGAAUGCCAAGCAGGGACCUGAGUUCACUUGGGAGCGCAAAGACUUGAUGAAGCAUAAAUAUCCGCAUCUCUUUCCAAAUCCAUGAUUUGUAUCUUAAUUUUAAAUUUCGGGACGAAAUUUUCUCUAACAGGGAGAUAAUGUGACAACCCGUAAUUUAUUCUGUCACUGUAAGCCGUUCCCGUUAAUAAAACCGCUUGUAUUCCAAUUUUUCCGUUAACUUUUGGGUUAAGUUAAUUAAAUUGAGACCUUUAUUAUGAUCUCGUGAGUGUCCAAACCCAUUUGAAACACGUGAAAACACCCCAAUUUUUAUUUGGAAAUUUUUUAGUUUCGACCAUGUCGGGUUACGACAACUAAAUCGGGUACGACCAUAAGCCUCGUUUAACGUCAGUAUCAGGUAGAUUUCCACUGAGCCUCAAACUCAAACCCUAUAUAAGGGUGAGUGGACUUCAUUUGAAGCUUUUUCACUCACUCUCUCUCUCUCUCUCUCUCUCUCUCUCUCUCUUCAAUCCAAACUUUGAUCCAAAAAUCACCCAUUUCAAGCUCCAUAUCGGUAAGUAAUCCAUCCUAGCUUAUAGUUUAGAUUGUUUAGCUUACAAAUUUGUCUCUAAAUCAUCCAAAAAGACCAAAGACUUAUGUUUACGGCCCUAGAACAGCCCCAAACCGUAAAAACACUUAAAUGGGGUUUUGGAGCCUCAAAACCCUUCCAAACCACUUCUGGAGCUUAGUUAUGACUUAGGGGCUUACAUGAAUGGACUUAGAACACCAAAACCUUAAUAUUUAGGGAGUAAACAUGGUUUUACGGCCCAAGAGCAUGUUUGGACCGUAAACACCCCUUCUAUGGCCGUAAACACCAUUUAAUGUGUUAAGAUGCCCCUUAAACACCUCUUAUGCCUUGGAAUAAUGUCUAGAACCAACCACCAUUCUGUUAGGGACCUUAAACAUGAGAGGAACCACCUCCUUAGGAGAUUACAACCAUAAACCCCCCAAGGAAUGGUUCUUGGGCCGUAAACUCCUAUAAAAUGGUCAAAUGGUGCCCUAACUUCCUUCCAUGGCUUGUACUUUAGACUAGGACCACUUGUGCUUAACCUAGGACCACCAAAACACAAAAGAAAAGGGUAAGUAAGAGAUUAUGGCCGUAAAAUCUAUGUAUACUAUCAUAAACUCCCCAUAAUGGUCAAUUUGAUGGUUUAAUCCCUUCCAAUGCCUUAGAAUUGAUCCUAGCCUAAUUCCGCAAGUGUUAUAAGACCAUUAAUCAUCCAAGAACACACCACCCAUGAGUUUACAACCAUAAACUCAUGGGGAUAUGGUCAUUAGGCCGUAAUCUCCCUUAGGAGUUUACUCUUGAAGAGCAAACUCCAUAUCUAGGCCUUACAACUCCUUAGAUGCAACCCGGACCACUCCUAACACUUGAAGUGAAGUGUUUUCGCGCGUCGGAGUUUAUAUUCUUAUUUAAUUAGUAGUUGAAGAUCUAAUUAGAUACAUUUAUGUAUCUCUUCAUAUUACAUAGGAACCUCACAUGUGCUCAAGCCCUGAACUGACACUUAGCAUCCUAGCCGACACAUUUCUAGUCUGGUGAGUUCAUACCCCUACACCUUUUUCCGUGUUUUUCAAUGUUUUCAGGGGGGAAUACAAGCAAAAGUACAAGUAAAUCUUGUACUCAACUUAUUAUUUCAUUUGAAAAUUUUUCAUAUUUCGUAUGCUUUUAACACUGGAAACCGUAUUAACCAACCGUUUGACUUGCAGAGUUAGUUUUCAAACUAAUUGCGAACUUAUUAUAAAAUGUUAUAUUUUAUAUCUCACAAAUGAUUUUCCAUAUUUAUUUAGUGUUAAAAUCAUUAUUUUUAGAACUUUAGAUACGUCCUCUGUAACACUCCACAGAGAUACGCGAGCGGAGGACCACCUCUGUAACUAGAAUCUAAAACAGGAUUUUCUGCAUUAUUACUUGUAAAUUUGUUAUUCUUAAGAUUGGAGACACGUCCUCUGUAACUCUCCACAGAGAUACGCAAGUGGAGGACUGCCCCUAUAACCAGAAUCUCCUAGAAGGAGAGCGUGACUUGAGUGUAUAGAUCUAUACGGGGCUAACUAUCCCGCACCUUGCUGCUAGCUACACUGGGACCGGCAGGUCUACGAGUGACAAAAGUCAUAAAUGAUACCAGCCUUCCUUUGCCAUAUCUAGUUUAUCGUAUGGUUAUAGAACUCACAAAAUUAGAUAAUAGAGAUUUACUUUUAGUAAUAAAGCACUUAGUAAAUUAAUAACCUUAGAAAUUAGUUUACUAUUGUAAGGUCAAACCUUGAAAUAUGAUGAUGUUUAAAAAAGAUCUCAGCAUCAGCGCAUAUCUCAGUGUCAGCAUCAACGCUUCAGCAACUCAGGUUGUUUAGUUUAGUCACUGCAUUGUAACAGAUUUUGUACUUAUCUUGUUUCCAUAGUUAGCGUAAAUUAGUUAGCUGGCAUAUCCCUGAUUUGUAGGGAUUGUCUAGUAUAGCAGUAUAUAAUCUUUUGUAUCGGUUUGUGAAAGGACACCUUUCACAAACCCUAAUCGCUGCUUUGUGCACACCAUAAUCUCUUUGUGAGAUUAUCUUUCUUAGUGAAAGCUUUUCUUCGUGAAUUCUUCUUAUUCUUAUUUACUAUUAUUGUUUGAUAAAUUGAUUGAUAUAAAGGCCUUUUCAAUUGGUAUCAGAGCAGGUUUCUUUUAUCAAACAAAUGGCUUCAUCUUCCUCUUUUUCGAACUCAUCAAAUCAUCCUUCCACUAAAAUUCCUCCGUUUGAUGAAACAAAUUUUUCCAUGUGGAAAAUAAAGGCUCUAUAUGCUUUAGAGUCAGUAGAUGAAGACAUGUUGGACAUCGUCGAAAAUGGUCCAUACGUCCCGAUGUAUCAGCCUCUGAAAAAUAACGUCCCUGAUGGUGCGAUGAAGAAAACACCUAAAGAAAACUGGACGGCAGAUGACAAAAGAAAUCAUGGUCUAGAUGUUCGUGCUCAUGCUGCAAUCAGCUACGCUCUGCCAUAUAAUAUCUUUGGGUUGGUUCAGAACUGCAUCUCAGCAAAAGAGAUGAUGGAUACUCUGACUGUAUCGUUUGAAGGCACUGAAGAAGUCAAGGCCACUCAAAUAAAUGAUCUUAACAGAAGGUAUGAACAUUUUUUUGCAAAGAAAGGUGAAACUUUGACUCAAACCUUUAACAGAUUCAAUACUCUUGUUAAUGAUUUACGGAGAUUAGAUCAGUUGAAGCAUAGAACUGUUCUAGUGUAGAAGUUUUUGGAUUCUCUGGGUGUAGGUUGGGAGAACCAUGUUGAUGUACUAAAAAAUAGUGAGAAGAUCAACACUAUGGACUUACAAAGUCUCUAUGGAAAUCUUCGAUACUAUGAAUAAUCCAAGCUUCAAAGAAAGGAGCUGAUGAAGGAUUCUCAGCAUGAAUCAUCUGUAGCCUUGUUCUCAAACAAAAAGCUAGUGUCAGAUUCAGACACUGAAAUCUAUUCAGAUACUGAUUCCUCUAAAACUGACACUGAUGAUCUUGAAAAGGUUGUGGCUAGUGCAGCUUUAAUUUUAAAGACUUUUGAGAAAUCAGGUCGAAACUUCUCAAAGUUUUAGAAGAAGAUGGGAGGAAAGUUUUCAAAAAGAUCAGAUGCUGAUAAAAAGCAUGGUGCUGAUAAGAAAGGGAAGGCUCGGUGCUUUAACUGUGGGAGCACUGAUCAUUUUGCAAAGGAAUGUAAACAAAAAAAACAAAGCUCGGAUGAAUACUGGAAGCAGAAGUACAACAAGCUGAUUGAGAAACUGAAAGCAGAAAACUUGGAACAUAAAGUUCUUGUUGCUGAAGAAGAAAAUUGGAAGACUGAUGAGGAGUCAUCAGAUGAUGAAGUCAAGUGUCUAAUGGUAAAGAUAGAAGACACGGAUGUUCCUGAAAAAGGCACAAGUACAUUUGAUGCUGAUAUGUCUGAUGCAGUUGAAAAAUCCAAGAAGCACAACACUGACUCUCCUUCAAUGUAUCAGGUUAAAAACUUUGUUUCCUAUUCAAUGAAUGAAAAAAUCAGAAUGUUUGAGUAUUUGGGUGUCAUUAAUUCUAAGAAGAAUCAAACAAUAAGGGAUUUACAAAAUCAACUUGACCUUCUUAAAACUGAAAUAUCCAUGAAAAAUAACCUUAUUGAUUCCACUCAGGAAAAUCUUAGAAUCACUAGUUUGUCAAAUUCAUCUUUGUCUGCUGAAAUUGACAAUGUCAAAGAUCUUUUGAUCAAAGAACAAACUAUGCUUCAUACUUGGGCAAAAUCUCACAAGAAUGCCAAUUAUAUUAUUUUUGCUCAAAUUCCACAUUCAUGUGAAAAAAUUCUUGGGGGUAAUUUUGCAGAAGCUGAAAAAGUUUUUAAAUCACAAGAAAAGGAAUCUGAAUUUUAUUCCAUGAAUGAGAUGAAAAACAAUUUCAAAAAUAAGUUUGUCAGUAACUCUUUUAUUAAUCAGAGUUUAAUUGAUGAAUACUGUGUUACUAACUCUAAUGGUGUUACUGAGUGUAAUGUUGAAAUUACCGGAAUUGAUCCAACCUCUUACCCUGCACAUCUUGUAAGACCAACUCCUCUCACUGAGAAUAUUAUUGCCUUUCCUAUCUCAAAUGGAGUGUUUCAUGCUGUUCAUGAACAACUUAAGCAUUUUCCUAAUUCCAAUGCAAUCGUGAAUAAGUCCAAAUCAGACACUGAUGAUAGCUCAUCGUCUAUCACUGAUCAUAAUAUGUCUGACACUGAAUUUAGUUGUGAUUCAAUAAUAAGCAAAAGGACACAAAGCUCUCUUGGUGAAUCUUACAAGUCGAAAUGUGUUAAGUCAAAAAAAAACUAGUCACCAAGAGGAACCUUGGUACUAGAGUUUGUUACAGAUGUGGUGAUACCUCUCAUAAGAUUAGUGAAUGUUCAUUUGAUAAAUCAUCUUUAAGAGCUGAUAAUAUUAAAGUUAGAAAUGAAAAAUGGACUCUUAAGUCAAAUUCUUUAAACUGUCUUCCUAAGGAGUGUUAUAAUCUAUUAUCAAAUAACUUUGUGAAUUACCCAUCCUCGAAUGAGUCAGUGUGUUCUAACUAGUUUCUUAGCACUGUAGGGUCAGGAGCAUCUUUGGUACUUAGAUAGUGGUUGCUCAAGACAUAUGACAGGAUCAAAGUCUCUCCUGGAAGAUUAUGUCAAGAAAACUGGUCCUGCAGUAACUUAUGGAGACAAUGGAAAGGGGUUCACUAAAGGAUAUGGAAAUAUCAAAUGCAAUAACGUGGUUUUUCAAAAUGUUUCAUAUGUAAAGGGUCUCAAACACAACCUUAUCUCCAUCAGUCAAUUGUGUGAUGCUGACUAUGAAGUUCACUUUACAAAGAAGGAAGGCAGAGUUGUCAACACUGACAAGAACAUCGUACUUUCAGCAAGUAGAAAAGAUGAUAUAUAUGUUCUUGACAUGUUCUCGAGUGACAAGGCGCUGAUGCAAUGCUUCUUUACAAAGUCUCAGACGAAUCUUAGCUGGAUUUGGCACAAAAGGUUCUCUCAUCUGAACUUCAAGAACCUAUCCAAAAUAUCCAAUCAAGAUCUAGUUAGAGGGCUCCCAAAAUUCAGCGUUGUGAAAGACAAGAUGUGCUCAGCUUGUGAACAAGGAAAACAAACCAAGUCCUCUUUCAAACCCAAGUCAUGUUCCAGUAUAUCAGUCCCUCUUCAUUUACUCCACAUGGACUUGUUUGGACCUAUUCCUGUCCGUUCUCUAGGUGGAAAUAAGUAUACUCUAGUGGUUGUGGAUGAGUUCACUCGAUUUACAUGGGUGGUUUUCCUGAAGAAGAAAAGUCAUGCUGCACAGGAAAUUAUUUCACUGAUUCGUAAAAAUGAGACACUGACAGGUCUCAAAGUUAAGCAACUAAGAAGUGAUCAUGGUACUGAGUUCCGAAAUUCAACUCUUGAAGAAUUUUGUGAUCAUAAAGGCAUUGGGCAAAACUUCUCAGCUCCUCGUACUCCUCAACAAAAUGGAGUUGCUGAACGAAGAAAUAGAACGCUGAUUGAAGCAGGAAGGACCCUAAUGAUUCAUGCUGGUCUUCCUAUGUCGUUUUGGGCUGAAGCUGUCAAUACAACGUGCUUUACUCAGAAUCGAUAUUUAAUUCACAGGAUUCAUAAGAAGACACCAUAUGAAAUGUUGAAAAGCCGAAAGCUAGACGUAUCCUUCUUUCACAUGUUCGGAUGUGUUUGUUAUAUUCUAAAUCAGCGUGACCCAAGAUCUAAAUUUGAACCUAAGGCUGAUAAAGGUAUUUUUGUUGGAUACUCAUCUAUUUCAAAGGCUUUUCGUGUUUUUCAUGUGAACAGGCAAUGCAUUGAAGAAUCCAUUCAUGUGAAGUUUGAUGAGGAAUCAUACACUGAUGAAAAAGUCACUCAUUCUUCCUCUAUUUUUCAAGAGCUUCUCUCUUGCCCAUUUGACGAAGUUCCUCUUGCUGGAGAUGAAGCUGAUAUUUCUGAUUCUAUCGUUCUAGUUCCAUGUUCCUUGAAUCAAGAUACUGCAGCCAGAUCAUCAAAUAAUUCGUCAGGUGCUAAUGAAACCCUUGAAGCUGAAGAUUCUCCUGCAACUGAUAACUUGUCAGUGUAAAAUUCUCCGGAAUCAGCAUCAGUCUCUAAACAUCGAUAUCAUCCUGUUGAUCAAAUUAUUGGGAAUAUUCAUGAUGGUGUCCGAACCAAAUCUCGUGUAUCUAAUAAAUUUUGCAUGUAUGUUAAUUUCGUUUCAAUGAUCUUACCUGACAAGAUACACACAGCUCUUGAAGAUGCUGACUGGAUUAAAGCCAUGCAAGAAGAUCUGAAUGAGUUUGAAAGGCACAAAGUUUGGACUCUUGUCCCAAGACCAUCAGGAAAGACUGUCACGGAACUCGCUGGGUCUAUCGCAACAAGGUUGAUAAAGAUGGAAUCAUCACUCGCAACAAGGCAAGGCUUGUCGCUCAAGGGUUUACUCAAAUUGAAUCCAUUGACUACGGGGAAACCUUCGCUCCAGUUGCUCGCAUUGAAGCAAUCAGACUGUUUCUCGCAUACGCAUCCUACAUGAAUUUCAUUUUCUAUCAGAUGGAUGUGAAAACAGCCUUUCUUCAUGGUGUGUUAGAAGAAGAAGUUUUCCUCAAUCAGCCCCCAGGCUUUGUUGACAAAGAUCACCCUGAUCAUGUGUACCGAUUAGACAAAGCUGUUUAUGGACUGAAGCAAGCUCCCAGGGCUUGGUAUGAGAUGCUGACAUCGUAUCUUCUUGAGAAUGGAUUCAGAUGAGGAGCAAUCGACAAUACUCUCUUCAUCAAAAACAAAGGCUCAGACAUGGUUCUUGUUCAAAUCUAUGUCGAUGACAUCAUUUUUGGCUCUCCAAAUGAGAAACUGAGCAAGGAAUUUGCAGAGAUCAUGUCUCAAAGGUUCGAAAUGAGCAUGAUGGGAAAGAUGACCUUUUUCUUAGGUCUUGAAGUUCAGCAACAAAAGUCAGGUAUUUCUAUUUGUCAAAGUAAAUAUAUUUCUGAUUUGCUUGUUAAGUAUUCUCUCAGUGACUGCAAACCAACUUCUACUCCAGUAUCCAAGACUGAUAAGAUUCACGCUGAUCCAACUGGAACUGAUGUCAAUCACUCUCUAUAUCGAGGAAUGAUUGGAUCUCUUUUAUAUCUCACGGCAAGUCGUCCUGACAUCAUGUUUGGAACCAUUCUCUGUGCUCGAUUCCAAGCUAAUCCGAAGGAAUCCCAUCUCAUGGUCGUCAAACGUAUCUUUCGAUAGUUGAAAGGGACUCCAAACCUAGCACUGUGGUAUCCUCGUGACUCAGCAUUCGAACUUUUUGGAAACACUGAUUCAGACUAUGCAGGAUGCAAUUUAGACAAAAAGAGUACGUCUGGUGGAUGUCACUUCCUUGGAAAUCGUCUCAUCAGCUGGUCUAGCAAGAAGCAAACAUCAGUAGCCAUCUCGACUGCAGAAGCUGAGUAUGUUGCAGCUGGGAGAUGUUGUGCUCAGCUCUUAUGGAUUCAAAAUCAGCUUCUCGACUAUGGGAUCAAGUUCUCAAAGACUCCCAUAUAUUGUGAUAACACCAGUGCCAUUCAAAUCACACAAAACCCUGUUCAGCACUCAAAGACGAAGCAUAUCGAAAUCAGACAUCAUUUCAUCAGAGAUAAUGUUGAGAAGGGAAAGGUUGUUCUUGAACAUGUCAAGACUUCAGAGCAACUUGCUGAUAUCUUCACUAAGGCACUGGAUUCUCAAACAACUGCUUACAUUAUUGGAGAACUUGGAAUGAUUACUUUGUAAUUAAUUUUGCUAAUGUUUGGUAUUGUCUUAUAAGCUGAUGUACAUUGUGCUGAUGAUGAGAUGCUGAUGAUAUUUGCAUUCUAAGUAUUUGGUUUGAUCUCCUAUCUUUCUCUCUUCUUCAACUCUUCUCAACUAAAGUUGAAUGAUUCACUGUAUUAAAACCAUACACUGAUAACAACUUGAAACUCUUUGCCGAUGGUUAGAUCAAAACAGCAAGAUCUAUCACACGCAACUAUCUCUUCUUACCAAUCUUACACUGAUUCCGUGAUUCAGUGUGACAAAACACACACUGAUGAGAAUCUAAAAAUCUUUACCGAUGGUUAGAUCAAAACAGCAAGAUCUAUCACACGCAACUAUCUCUUCUUACCAAUCUUACACUGAUUCCGUGAUUCAGUGUGACAAAACACACACUGAUGAGAAUCUAAAAAUCUUUGCCGAUGGUUAGACCAAAACACCAAGGUUUAUCACACGCAACAAUCCUUUCUUUACCUUCUUCUCAUUCAGUGUCUAAUGAUUCAGUAAGAUAAACCUCUCACUGAUAAAGACACAACACUCUGUGCCGAUGGUUAGAUAAUGCAACUAGUAUCUAUCAAACGCACCAAUCUCCUUGCUAGCCCCAACCGAGCAAGUUGUACCUUAAAUUGACGGAGAAAUAUCCUCAGCAUGUAAUUUUUGUGACACUGAUCUUAGCGCUUCCGCAAACACUGAUUGACGUUUCAUCUUCAGUCAACGACUCUUUUACCCAAAGGCUAUUUUUUGGUCUGACAGGUUGUUACGAUACGCCGUUAUUUUUUAAGAAGAUAAUCAUUACCUUUUUUAAAGACCCGUUUCAUUCCAUAUUUAAACCUCUUUCCACCCUUAUUUCAAACUUUCCUUAGACAAUUUCAACUUCCUUCACUUAUAUUCAAAACCCUAGCACCCUAAAAACUCUCUAAUGGCGGCAUCUCUGUUCACUUUCUCCUCCACUUCACGAAGGGUAGUUCCUGCCCCAAACUCUCCUCCUCUUCCAAUAUACAUCAAAGCCACAAACGUUGUUUUCAACCCUGAUAUUCCCGAUGUUCAUCGAGGUCUUGGACUCGAUGAUUUUGUUAAUUUCUUAGCCUCCUGCCGCCUACGAUACGCCAUCAGUGACAUUCCAUCAGAGUUCUUCCCUAAACAAGUCUGUGAGUUCUACUACACUGCAACUGUCAAUGACGAAAACAAUGCCAUCACCGGGACCAUUGGCCGUGGCAGACACUUUGUCUUAUCACCGCAGAACUUCUCAGUGCUGCACUAAGGUUACCUAUCUUUGAACCUUUCUCUGAACUUACUUCUAUUGAACGAUGUAGACGAUUAUUCGAUCAACUGGGAUAUGAUCACUCAAAGGCUAGUGCUCGCUCAGCCCUUGUUCUGCGCCAAUGUAUGACCCCAGGAUGGAUGUUCUUCACUGGUGCUCGGUGCAAAUUUGUGGGUCACAAGUCUCGAAGUGGUGAUCAAAUGAGCACUUAUGAACAAAAAGUUGUGUGCUCACUACUUCUCAACAAAAGACUUGAUUAUGCGGCCUUAUUCUUUGAGCAACUUGUUCAACUUCUUCAUGCAAAUGUACGCGCUGAUCAUGUUCCCUUCCCACGCUGGAUUGCUCUUGUGCUCGAUAAAUUCUUUGCUGCAGAUUACUAGUCGCACACUGGAAAUCCUAUUCAAUGCCCUCGCAUGUCAAUUCGCAUGUAUCAAGAUGAUCCGCUAGAUACUGACAUCGGAAUAUCUGAUAGGAUGAGGGAAUGGAUUGCAAACCCAUACACUGUUCCUUCACUCACCGCUGAUACUGAUGAAGGAGGUGCUGAUGGCAACCAUGAAGAUCCUGUUGGUCAAGAGGAUGAACCACAUGAUGGUGGUCAUUUCUCUCCUCAACUUUCUCAGCAUACCGUCUCUGUUACUAAGAAAGUGACCUCAGCUCAAAAGGAUUCACUGAUUCAGGGGGAGCAACAAUCUUAGGGGGAGCAUCCAUCUCAGGGGGAGCAUCCCUCACAGGGGGAGAUUCCACCCCAGAUAGACCAAUCUUCUCCAAGGAUGCCACCUCGCUCACAAGCAGCUCCAGAUACUUCAUUCGUUCAAAUUUCAGCCUCAGCAUUUAAUGAACUUCUGGCACUGACUCGGGACAUGAGUCAGCGUCUUCUACGUAUUGAGGUUGAUGUUCAUCAGCUUAAGGAAGUUCUCUUGCAUACUCCAUCCUCCAUCCCUCAAUCUGAUGAUGCUCAAAAAGGGGGAUAUACUGAUGAUCAUGAUGCUGAUCGUGAUAAUGCUGAUGAUAAUCCGAAAGAGAGUGACACUGAAUAUGUUCAGACUGAGCCACCAAAGCAGAUGCCCGAGUCUGACUUUGUAAAACCUAAUUGUCCAGCAGAUACUGAAAAGCUCGUUGAAGAUAGUGAGCAUGAUGAUAAACAAGAUGAUGAAUGUCAAAUACUAGAUAUGAACUUCAUUGAUCCUUUUAUUCCAGUUCAAGAAGAAGAUUCAGAUGAUCUUGAUAAAGAAUUGCAAAGGUCAAACAUGAAAGUCGUUGAUCCCACUAUUGAUCCCAUUGUUCCGGUCCAAGGAGAAGAUUCAGACAUUGCUAGUGAAGAUUCUCAUCUGUUAUCUCGCAAGUGAAAGGUAGCAGAUACUAACUUGGCUUCUUCACACACUGAUACUUCUUUGUCUUGCAAGAAACCCAAGUCCAUUGUCAGUAUAUCAAAUUUGGCGGCUGAAUGGAACAUGUCAUCUGAUCAAGUUAAGCAAAUUCUUGAUGAAGCUAAUCAAGCUCAGCUUCUGAAGAACAUUGCUCAAGCUGAUGAAUAUCUCAUUCAGCAUAAACUUCAGGCCAAAGGAUCUUUUGAAGCUCAGAUGCAGAAAUUCUUGGAAUUUUAGUCCAAGUCUCAAUCUUCUCAGCCUCCUCCUAGCAACAGUAAGCCUAAGACUGACAGUGUUCUAGACAGGAUUGAUCGAAAAAGGUUUGAAGAUGUUCUAAAACGACGAAUGUGUGGUGAUAAGAUCAUCAAAGUUAAAGCUUCCAAACCACGUAAUGAGAAAAUUCUUACGUUGCUGAUCACUCGUCAAGGUCCGCAUCAUUCAUACACUGAAGUUGUCAAGAGGGAUGAGCUAAUUAGAUAUGGAUAUUCUGAAUGGAUGGAAUUAUGAAUUAGCGNNNNNNNNNNNNNNNNNNNNNNNNNNNNNNNNNNNNNNNNNNNNNNNNNNNNNNNNNNNNNNNNNNNNNNNNNNNNNNNNNNNNNNNNNNNNNNNNNNNNNNNNNNNNNNNNNNNNNNNNNNNNNNNNNNNNNNNNNNNNNNNNNNNNNNNNNNNNNNNNNNNNNNNNNNNNNNNNNNNNNNNNNNNNNNNCAGGUACUCAGUUCAUCCAAAUCCCAUCCUCAGCCUUUAAUGAGCUUCUUACACUGACUCGAGACAUGAGUCAGCAUCUCCUUCGUAUUGAAGCUGAUGUUCAACAACUGAAAGGAGUUAUUCUGUCAACUCCUACCCCUGGCCCAAAUGAUGAUGAUGCUCAAAAAGGGGGAGAAACUGAUUCUGUUAAGAAUGUAUCUGAGGGGAACGUGCUGAAACAGACCGAGCCACCACAGCCUGUGCACGAGUCUGAGAAACAAAUAGAAGCUGAAGCUGAGUAUGAAGAGUUCUUGUCCAGAGGUGUUUUAAUUUAGUUGGUUUUGAACAUCAUCAUAUUGGGGGAUAUUGUAAGGUCAAACCUUGAAAUAUGAUGAUGUUUAAAAUAGAUCUCAGCAUCAGCGCAUAUCUCAGUGUCAGCAUCAGAGCUUCAGCAGCUCAGGUUGUUUAGUUUAGUCAGUGCAUUGUAACAGAUUUUGUACUUAUCUUGUUUCCAUAGUUAGCGUAAAUUUGUUAGCUGGCAUAUCCCUGAUUUGUAUGGAUUGUCUAGUAUAGCAGUAUAUAAUCUUUUGUAUCGGUUUGUGAAAGGACACCUUUCACAAACCCUAAUCGCUGCUUUGUGCACACCAUAAUCUCUUUGUGAGAUUAUCUUUCUUACUGAAAGCUUUUCUUCGUGAAUUCUUCUUAUUCUUAUUUACUAUUAUUGUUUGAUAAAUUGAUUGAUCUAAAGGCCUUUUCAACUAUUUUGAUAGUUUUAUAUACGUGUUAAAAUGAACGUACUUUUCAAGGAUAACCAGGCUUUCAAGAAACUUCACACAAACACUACAAGUAUUGUUGAUUCAUGUACACUUCAUUUAGAUUCGGUAACCAACCACAAACUUUUAAGUAAAAUUAGGGUUUUUCAUGGGAUAACAAACUGUUCUUAACCAAACUGUGUAACAUAUGGAUAACAAAACUUUACGUAUAAGAAAAUAUGGGAUUUUCAUAGAUAUCAACUUUUUCAGAAAACCAAAGAAAACUUGUUCUUUUACAGAAACAAACCGCUUAUGAACUCACCAGCUUUAUGCUGAUAUUUUAAAACUACUUGUAUUCUCAGGUUAACAUUAGACAGGUAUCCUGCGUUCUUUUGAAGAAGACGGAGCAUAUGGAAGUCAGUCUUUACUUUUGUUUAAACUAAUGUAUCUAUAAAACAUGUAUUACUUUGCUUUCAAACAAAUGUAAUGAUUCUAACGUAAUGUAAUGUUUUUUGUUUACUAUGCUUACUAUGUACAGUGGUUGUGAUACUUUACAUAACGUCCUCCGCCCCGGAACGUUUCCGCCAUCGGUUUCAGGGUGUGACACAGGGCGUACGCAAUCAGUGCCCGAAGCCUAUUUUCGUUGUUUGAGCCCUAUUUAAGCUCUUAAAGUCCCCAAAUCCACUCCAUUCUCAGCCUCCACCCCUCUAACACCCCUUCCAUGGUGCACCUUGGAGAAGAAGGAACUUCUUAGAGACGUGUUGGUUGCAUUGGAUCUUGUAGAUCUAGACUUUGUUCACCUUGACCUAUACUCUAGAUGUAUAAAUUUGAAUAUUGAUGAUGCAUUUGUUAGAUCUAACCAGUUUUGGAUGUUAUGAGCUUUUAGUCCUUUUGUUGUAUAAACUUUAGAUCUUGGAAUUUUGUGGCCAUGUUAUGGAUAAAGUUGGAAACUUUAUCCAUCUAAACAUCAUUUGAUUUAGACCUGAAAGUUGGAGACUUGUACUUAAUAGAUUAAUUUGAAAAAGAUUAUCUUUUGGGUCCCUUUGAAACUUAAAGACUAGAUCUUGUUUAUUGGGACCAUUUUACUGGAUAAAGUUUGAAACUGUAUCCAUUAUAAAGCUACUAUGAACUAUAAAAAUGUGAUCUUGGCCCUUAUAUCCCUUCCAUACAAGAGUUGUGAUGUCUUAUUAGGUUAAGAACUUGGGGUUUUGGACAUUAAGCACUUUAUAACCAUGCAAAGUCAUAAAGUUGGAAACUUUAUGACUUAGAACAUCAUUUUGGGCUUGGAUCUAGUUUUUGGAUGUAAGAACUUAAUAGGAUAAUCUCUUAAUUGAGUUUGGGACUUGCUAGGGUACGCCCCACAUACCUCCGGAGUAUGUUCCAUGUACGCACCCUGAGUUGACUCGGUCGGGUUGACUCGGUUGGGUUAACUUAGUUGACCUAGUUGGUUUGACCAGUUGACUUUGACAAGUUUGACCUUAAGGAUAUUUUGGGAUUUUAUUUUGAUUGGUCACGUGGAGGAAUAGGUGUCGGUUGGAGCUGAGAUUUGAAGUUGGGACCUCAUCAGCUUCUGUUCAGUUUGUGAGGUGGUUUUCCUCACUAUACUUAUUGGUCAAAUGCACUAAGGACGGACCACUAGUUUGAUAACCUGGUAUUUGAAGAUAUACUGAGUAUGGGAUAGAUAUGCAUGCUAGUUUGAUAUACUAGUUUGGUAGAUCUGUAGGGCUACCUGUGAUACUGUCUGUUUAUCUGUACAUGAUAUUAUUUGUUAUAUGUCGACAUAUUGUGUGGGUUGGGUUGAAGUUGUACUACUCUAUGUUGUAGCCAACAAACCCUGGAGCAUGCCAGAUAUGAGUUGAGGGCCAUGGAGGGCAUGUUAGAAUCAUGCUGAGGGCUCAAUAGCAUUCUAGAAAUGAGCUGAGGACCCGGUUAGUACGCCUGACUUAUACGGAGGGCUUGAAAGUAUUAGAGCAAUCCAAAUAUGAUUUGAGGGCUGGGUAGGGCAUGCGAGACUCAUACCGAGGGCUCGGUAGCAUUCCAGAUACGAGCUGACGACCUGGUUGGUAUGCCAGACUUGUACUGAGGACUGAAGAGCAAGCCAAAUAUGAGUUGUGGGCCUGUUAGGCAAGCCAAACUCAUACUGUGGGCUCAAGGGUAAUCUAGUCCAUAGUUGUGGACCCAAUACAUGUUGUUAUUUAUAUAUGUGAUCUAUUAGUGUACUGGUACUUUGGGGGAACUCACUAAGCUUCAUGCUUACAGUUUCCAUUCAUUGUUUCAGGUGCUUUAGAGGACCGUGACAAGGUGAAGGCGUGACCAUACACAUCCUUGGUUUUACAACUGAUUGGAUCUUGGGUGACUCUGAUUUUAAUUCAUGUUUUGGAAAUGAUGGUUUUGUGAGCACUUUUAUUAGUAAAAGGUUGUUUUGAACAGGUUUAAAUUUGUUGAAAUUUUCGGAAUGUUACAAGUUGGUAUCAGAACCUUGGUUUUAGUGAAUUAGAAGAACAUUCACGUGAAUCAAGUCUCAAACUAAGGAAAAUGGUUUUGAUAACAAUUUUCAAAGUAAAGGUUUAUGAAAAUAACUUUCAAAGUUGCUUUUAAAAUAACCAAAGGAGGAUGUGUUGUGUACCAUCAGUCGGAGUCAGUAAGUUGUCCCCAAGUUACCACACUGUUCCUUGAUAUUGUCAUAUGUUAGGACAACAUGCUAGUGAUAGGCUAGGGAUCUCCAGAAAUUGCAUCAUAGAAUUUCUUGAUUAUAUGAUGCCUGAUAGCCUAGGGUUCUUCUAUAUAUUAAAUUGACAUCAUUACUAUAGUUGCUUAGUGUAUGCAUCAUAGUUGUACAUAACUAAGAUUCAAUAGCCUUAGAAUAUUUGUUUUGGCUUUAUUUCUUGUUCCUUGUUUGGUUGUGGGCUUAUGGGUGGAUCAAGUAUUCGACUGUCUAUAGGAUCUAGUGUUAUGUACGGCUAGUAAAUGCGAGUGUUGCAGGGUUGGUGGAAGUUUCGUGAGUGGGUGCAGUGUAUUGCGAGUCAACGUGAGGAAUGAUUGGCCACUCUUGGGAGACUGAGAGUAGGUCGAAGGUGCAACUAUGAUGAGGGGAGAUGAAGAUCGAGGAUUCCGUAUGAGGAUACGUCCGAUUUUAUUGCAUUUAGUGUCAGACGGUUUCUUUGCUCGAAUGUUGUUUGGUUUGUGCUUUGUCAAACCCAUGUUGAUGAGAGUUAACCACGAAAUGAUUACAUUAAGUUACAUGCUAUGAGGGUUAGGUAAUCUUAGGAUAAAGGACUGGGACAUAUUGUGCAACUCUUGUCUGAGUCCAACCGUUAAAGGGUUGAGUCCUUUAAUCGUGGGAUUAUUUAAGCUUGGUUGCAUGUAAUUGUAUUCGUGAAGUGGUUAGUCGGCAUUGGUAGGGGUUCUUCAGCAGCUAAUGGUAGAGGGGGUGUGGGUGAGUCCUAGGGUAGAAUAGGAAGUAUUUAGUGCGGUUGUUUCGCCGUGGAGUAGGUUUCAGGUGUAUUUUUUGACUAGGACUUAGAAGACGCGAAAUAAUCCUUGAGGAAAGUAUGGAUAAGUGUGGAACGUAGUAUUGGGCCCAUACUACUGGAAGCACAAGAUACAUACCCAAAUCAAGGAAGGUUUCAGGAAUUUUAAGGUCUGGUUAGGGAAGUUAGCAUGGUUAGAUACCAUGUUUCGUGGCAGUGUUUCUGUUCAUAUCGAUCUUUUGGUCAGGACUUCUCAGGCAUACGGAUGGACCUAGUAAGUGAUCUAACCCCUAGUGGUGUUAUUGGUUUGGGUUGUUGGUGCAAACCUAGUGAGCUUUGGUUUGAGGCCUCGUAGGUUUUGCUCUAGGUCAGGUAUUCAAGUCACGAGACUCAAGAAGGGAACGAUGAUUAUGACUGGCUUAGGUUUUACAGUUGGGAUUGGGAUGGUUGAUUGAUGGAUUGGAAUAUCAUUAUCUGUGGCUACGGUCAUGCCCUUGCAGUUUUUUUCCAACUACGGAUAAGGAGUGAACAGGCUCAUAAUUUAUAGAGUUAGGAAGGGUAGUACCUGCUUAAGGUAGUUUGAGUUAUGAUUUGGUUUCAGCACCAGUGGGUGGUAGUUCGAGCCUUAAGUGAGGGAGAACUGGGAUUCCUGAGUUGAGUAGUUUAGCCAUUGAGGAAUUUCCAGUUCAUUUUUUGGAUUUCUGUUUUCGGAUUAGUUGGGCAGAUGUUGAUCAGGGAAUCUUUUUUUGAAAACAAGAAUGUUCAGUUCCAUGUGAGUUUUGAUUCUUUGGAUAAAGUUUCAAUGUGUCCGUGACCGUUGGCCGUGGGGUUUAUCAUUCAUCGUAGUUUCUCUUGAUAGUCUAAUUAUGGCAGCCGAGAUUCAGUGGUAUGGCCAAUCUAUCGUCAAGAUCAGUAUGUUCUAUGUUCUUUGGGCCUUCAGACAUGUUUACCCUCAAGGGUGGGUGGGAACAUGGUUUAUAGUAGACUCAUAUUUUGGAAACCUUUGAGAUCCAUCGAAGUCUUAUCGAGCUAGUUGUGUCGUGGUAGAAUCCGUUCAGCCUUAAACAAUUAUGGGAUUUUGUUUUGACUGCUUGUCACUACUAGAAAAACAUCCUUUUAUGACGCUCAUUGCGCGUCGUAAAACGCUCAGACGACGCGCAAAUGCACGUUAAGAAAGGCCGUGUCAUAAAGAGAGACGACGCGCAUUUAGGACGCGCAUUUACGACGUGCGGUUAUGACACGCAAUGCAUAUCAAGGAAGGCCUGUCAUAAAGGAAGACGACACACAUUUUGCGUGUCGUAACCUUACGACACACGUGUUUAUGACACACAAUGCGUAUCAAGAAAGCCCCAGUCAAGAAAGGCCAUGUCAUAAAUCAAGAUGACACACAGUUCUGCGUAUCAUAAUUUUAAAUGUUCUAAAAAAUAUAUAUAUUUAUAUAUUUAUUAAUUUUUAAAUUAAAUUUGCAUUUAAUGUCUCAUAAUAGAAAUAAAAUAUCAUAUACAAAAAAUACAAUCCAUUGCAUCAAAUUUAAUGCCAUACAAUUCUAUUUCUUACAAUAUCUAAAUUUGCAUCUAAUCUACUUUGUACAUCAAAUUCCAACUAAGUAAAGUUGCAUCUUGUCUUUCAUAAUUCUUUAAGACUAAUGCUCCAAGCAGCUGAUUAUAUGGAUAAGCAGUUGUACAUUGGCCCAUCUCACUCAAGAAUGACUUAGCCAAAUUCAACUCCAAGUCUUUACAGCAUCUUGCUAAUAAUGCUGCAAGAUUUGAAUCAAGUGGCUUCAUAUUCCUUUCUUCCAUCAACUUUACCUGAUGCACAAGAUACACAGAAACAAAAAAAAAUUGUAGAGGAAGGGGUAAUUUGUGAAAAUGUGAGGGGUAUCCUCUGCAAAACAAAACAAAAAAUAUCCUUUGCAAGAUUUGCUCUUUUGUAUCCUCUACAAAACAAAACAAAAAAUAUAUAUCAAAAAAUGAAAUGUUUUAUAGUUUUAUAUUAUAACUAUGCCUAGAGUAUUGCAUGCCUGGAGAACCAUUUUUGCGUAUACUAAUUUUAAAUGUUCUAGCCUGAAAUAUUGACAGAUAAUACCAAUAAAGUGAUGAAGGUAAAAGAAAUAUGUUUUCACUUGAAGUAAGUAAAAGACAGUUGAUGUGAUGUUAUUAAUAUUUUAUAUAUUAAUUAAUUUUCUUAUGAUAGAUUAGCACAACAAGUUUGGAAUAAAUUGAAAACAAGGAGCAAACCAUAAAUCUUACGAAGUAUCUAGUACAGAUACACACUUGAUAAGAUUGACAUAUGUUUCUUAUGAGGUAUCCAUAAUACGAGUGUUUCCUUUUCACUUAAUGCAAAAAGAAUGAAUUAAUAGAAGAAAAAGUAAGGAAUGAUAAAUAACAAAUAGAUAAUAAAUAAUAAUACCUCUCAAACAUGAUGUUACACUUCCAUUAGCCGUGUAGGGGUAAACAAGUAAUCUUUCGGUUGGAGUCAUACAAAAGACCCUUAAUCGAAGGAGAUUUUUGUGUACAACUAUACUAAUCAUCUCAACUUCUAUUUGAAACUGGAGAUCGCCACUUGGCGCCCUCUCUUCUUUCAAUCGUUUUACAGCAACGAGGGACCUGUCUACUAAUCGCCCUUUUAAGACGUUUCCAAAUCUGCCCCUACCCAAUAUUUUCUCAAUUGCUGAAACUAUCUGUUGGCACUUGCAAUUCUGUGGAAAUUUUUUUUAAGUUCUCCUAAAUGAACUUCUAUCCUCUUCAGUUGUACACACAUGUUUUCAAGUCAAUUAAUUGAAUAGGUUUUUUAACCAUUUGAAGAAAAAAAAAACUUUUUUUAAUGACUAACCAAGAAAAUCAAAGGAAAAAUCUUGAGGCUUUAGACGUUGCCACCAUGCAAAUGCAAUAGCAGGGGCAACAAACUACAGUGUCGCCCUAGCCGCCACCUCUCCGGUUAUAGCUCCAGUGACCGGGCCACAAAGAUCCAGGUUUUUCGAAAAACUAAGAGUUUGACAUUUAUCUUGUAUCAGUUAUAUUCUUGAAGAAAAAAAUGAAAUAAGAAUAAGAUUAUUUUAUUAGCAAACAUGAUUUGUGUAAAUAGUGAAAAAAAUCCAUUGUCUGGAGCUGAUCCUAAUAGACGAUUAUUUGAUAAAUCCCUAAAAUGACAAAUUAGAAAAUGAGAAAUAGCACAGAAAAAUGUUAUCUGAAUGAUAAAAUUGUAAUGAAAAUAGCACAUAAACAUCUUGUUUAUUGUGAAAAACGAAAUCCAAUGAUUACCUUCAACUUUCUAGAACACACAGAACAUUACUGUCUUGAGAUAUUUCUUUUGUAGAGCAUCAUACACACCUACAAAAUAACAACUCGUGAAAAAAAUCAAUAAUAAAAACGUAUAAACUCAAGCUCAAAAGCACUACAAAAUGUUUAUGAAUCAGUAUACCUUUCUUCAUCCAGUCAUUUAGUCUUCUGGACACUGCAUCCAUAGGUAUAAAAGAUGACCAACAUAAUCCCACAUAGGUUGUGUUUCCAUGGAUGGGGUUUCUAUUGCAAGUAACUUCAUCUACUAUACACCAACUUCUAAAAGGUUUAUAAACAUGUUUUGUUAGCUGACAUCAUCAUAGAUAAUUUAUAAAGUUUUUUCUGUGAAUAAGUUUAAAUGUGACAUACGUGUUGGUUAGGUCAGCUAUAGGUGAUAGGGUAGAAAUCAAAUUAGUGUCAUAAAUAAAGGUAUAUAUAAUUAAUGAGUAUAGAAAGUAAUAAUAUUGUGCUACAGUAAAAGGUAGAAUAGGAAAAAUCACAAGCUAGAUGACUGACAAAUUUGUGGUGGAGCCCUUGUAAAAUCGUUGUAAGCUAAGUCGUUGCAAUCAUAGCAACACAUUCACGUUUUUUACAGAUAAUAGCAAUGUACUUUUAGUUUUUUUACCAAAGUAAUAGGUAUUAUGAUUUACAUAUUGCUAAUAUUGGUAAAAAGAUAUUAAUGUGCAUCACUUAUAGUGGCAAAAAAGAGUAAAGUAUGUUGCUAUUUCGUGCAAUUUGGCGUAAUGGUAAUAAUAAUUAAGGGGUAUCAAACUUACAUCUUGACAUUGUUGCGAGUAAAUAUCAACUCUGGAAUUUCUCUGAAUAGUAAGUUGUUAUUCAGAAACCUACAUUCAUGGACAAUAUUCAAUAUCAGAAUUUAAAUCAAAAUAAAAAUAGGAAAUAUAACUAUAACAUCUUAUGAAGUAGAUGCAUAUAAGGCAUUAAAAUCGCAUCUCCAAAUGGAAGGGGGUACUAAACCACUCAGUCGAUUGAAGCUCAAGUCUCUACAAAUAAAAUAAAAUAAAAUAAAAAGUCAGACAAAAUGCUCAUUAAAUUUAAAUAAUAAAUUAAAAAAAAUCAGACUUACACAUAUUUUAAAGUGUCACUGUUCUGUUCAAUGUAUGGAGGUUUUAUGGUUACAUCUUUGCUCGUCUCAUUUGUUCUACCUUUGUAGUGCUUCAAAAAAAAAAAUAUCUUCGGGGCCUUUCUGUAAAUUUGAGCUACAAUGUCCAUCAGUAAUUGUCCAAAUUCGAGCGGUCCAAACCUAAAUACAUAAAUUCAAUUUAUAAUCUAUAAUUUUGGCCUAUAUACUAUACUAUUUUAGGUAAAAAUAAUAAAAAUAUCAUCAUAUAGGCACCUAGAUGCCAAAAGAGAGCCAACUGGAAUCAAUGCGAAUACAGAAAUCUGAUAUAAUGGUUUAAAGAGUUAUAUUAGUUUAAUAUAAACCAUGAAAACUGUUCUCGUAGCAUUUCAAAAGUACUCUUUUUUUCACUAUUAUCAGUAAAAAAAAUUAUUUUUAAGACCCUGUAUCAAAAUGAGAUUAUAUAAGAUGUUAAGAAUUUACAUAGACCUUAGAAUUAUGACCUUCUAAAAUUUUCAUAUCAGAGCACAAAACUCAAGAUAAUAGAAGGCAAAGCUAUUGAGCCUUGUUAAUCUCCAUUGGUUUUAAGGGUGCACAAACCGGGUUUUUUUUUCAAAACCAGAUCAGUUUAGGUCAACUAAGUGAACACUUGUUCAAGGCUAAACCAAUUCGAUUCUAAACCGGUUCGUCAAUAAAAAUAUGUGAAUUUUGCAAAUGGGUUCGGAAGUAAACUUGUUCUUCAAACCGGUUUAAAAAAAGUGGCGGAUUGGGCUUUUGACUAUUGUUUUUGGCUAGCUUGGGCUGUCUUUGUUGUGGAUUUGUUUUUUUGUUUUUGUGAAUUAGCUCAAAAUGAAUGAAUUCACAUUUAAUAAAAAAAAAAAAGAAACAGUAGGUGUUGUGCACUUGUGUGUAUAUGUGAAUUGAAUUGAGAAGGUUGAAAUAAGACAUGGUCGGAGAUGUGUUGGUUGUAGUGUAGUUGUGUGGUAUUCAAGAAACUCUACCAAGCUAGUGAUAUAAGCUAAAAAGUUGAAACUAGAAAAUGCAUGCUUGUAAUAUAAUAAUGAAAGAAAACAAGUUACAACAAAUGAAAAGUUACUGCAACACGCCAACACCUCCUACUCUAGCUAUUUUAUCUAUUUAAAUAAUAAACCAUACCCACCUUUUGUCACACCCCGAAACCGAUGGCGGAAACGUUCAGGGGCGGAGGACGUCAUGAAUAUGGCAACCAAUGUACAUACUAAGCGUAGUAACACAAAACAUUACAUUACAUAGAAUUAUUACAUUUUUUUGAAAUCAAAGUAUUACAAGUGUCAUANAAGUAAAUUGUACAAGUUAUAUAUAUAUAUAUCAUAUGAACAAAAGUUGAGACAAGUCUGAUAAGUGCUCCGUCUUCUCCAAAAGAUCGUGGGGUAUGUAAACCUGAGAAUACAAGCAGUUUGAAAAUCAGCAUAAAGCUGGUGAGUUCAUCAGAGGUUUGUUUUCUGAAAAUGUACAAGUUUCCUUUGGUUUUCUGAAAAAGUUUGUUAUCCAAGAAAAUCCCAUAUUUUCUUAUAAGUAUAGUUUAGUUAUUCGUUUGUUAUACGAUCCGGUUAUGUACAGUUUGUUAUCCUAGGAAAAACCCUUAUUUUCCUUAAAAGUGUAUAGUUGGUUAUCGGUUUCUGAAAGUAAUGUGCAAGAAUCUUCCAUACUUAAAGUGUUUGUGUAAAGUUUCCUGAAAGUCUAGUUAUCCCUCAAAAUUACAUUAGUUUUAACACGUAUAUAAAACUAAUAAGUAAGUAUAAAAGUAUUCAUAAUCUUGAUUGCGAGGUCCAUAACCAUACUACAGACUAGAUAAGGCUCAGAAUGGGGCCAGUAUCUUUAUAUGACUUUUGUCACCCUUGAACCUUUCGGUUCGGCUGUAGCUAGCAGCCAUGUGUGGGAUAGUCAAUCCCGUAUAGAUCUACACACUCAAGUCAUGUUCUCCCUCCAAGCGAUUCUGGUUACGGGGGUAGUCCUACACUCUCAUAACUAGGGGGAGUGUUACAAGGACGUGUCUCCAGUCUUAAGAUUAAUGAAUUCAAAGAUAAUAAAACGGGAUAUUCUCUUUAUUUAGUCCUUCACUCUCAUAACUAGGGGGAGUGUUAUCAAGGACUUGUCUAAAGUUCUACGUUUAAUGUUAUUGGUCCUUCACUCUCGUAUCUAGGGGGAGUCUUAUCAAGGACGGUUCUAAUAUUCUAAGUUUUAAUGUUGUUAGUCCUUCACUCUCGUAUCUACGGGGAGUGUUAUUAAGGACGGUUCUAAUAUUCUAAGUUUUAAUGUUAUUGGUCCUGCACUCUCGUAUCUAGGGGGAGUGUUAUCAAGGAAGGUUUUAAUAUUCUAUGUUUUAAUAUUAUUGGUCCUUCACUCUCGUAUCUAGGGGGAGUGUUAUCAAGGACGGUUCUAAUAUUCUAUGUUUUAAAGUUAUUAGUCCUUCACUCUCGUAUCUAUGGGGAGUGUUAUCAAGGACGUCUUAAAGUUCUAAGGUUAAUACAUUUAACAGUAAUGAUGUGGAAAUACAUUUGUGAAAUAUAAAAUAUAACAUUUUAAAACGAGUUUCACAAAUAACAUGACGGUUUACUCUGCAAGUUGAACGAUUGGUUAAUAUAGUUUUCCGUGUUAAAAUCAUACGAAAUAUGAAAUAGAUCAAAUGAAAUCAUAAGUUUGAAUACAAGAUUUCCUUGUACUUUUGCUUGUAUUCCCCUCUGAAAACAUUGAAAACAUGGAAAAACGUAGGGGUAUGAACUCACCGAUCGAAGAAUGUGCCUAAUUGGAUGCUAAACGUUAGUUCGGGGCUUGAACGCAUGCGAGGUUCCUAUGUAAUAUGAAAAGAUACACAUUUGUAUCUAAUUAGGCUUUGUACUACUAAUUAGCUGAUUAUAUACACUUCUAAUCGCGAAAACACUUCAUUACAUGUGUUUGGAGUGACUCGGGUAACAUCUAUGGACGUAUAGGGCUUGGAUAUGGAGUUUACUCUUCAAGAGUAAACUCCCAAGAGAGUUUACGGCCCUAAUGACCCACUCCCCAUGAGUUUACGGCCGUAAACUCAUGGUGGAGUGUUCUAGGGUGCUAAAUGGCCAUAUAACAUUUGAGGGGUGAUGCUAGUUUUGGUUUUAAGGCAUUGGAAGUGUUUAACCCAACAUAUGGACCAUUAUAAAGAGUUUAUGGUAGUAAACUAAGAGUUUACGGCUGUAAGCUCCCCCACACACCUUCCUUUGAUGUUUUGGUGGUCCUAGGUCAUUUACAAGUGUUUCUAGGAGUUCACGGCCCAGGACCCAUCCUUGGGGGGGGGGGUUACGACCAUAAGCUUCUAUGGGGUAGUUUUCAUCAAGUUUAAGGCCUCUAACUCAUUUAUGGUUGCUUCUAGAGUUUAUUCCAAGGCUUAUGAGGUGUGUAAGUGGCAUUUUAACACCUUAAAAGGAGUUUACUACCCACGAAAGGGUGUUUACGGUCCAAGCAUGUGCUUGGGCUGUAAACUAAUGUUUAUACCCUAAAUGAUGAGUUCAAGGUGUUCUAAGUCCAGUUUGGUAAGCCCCUAAGUCAUAUCUAAGCUCCAAAUGUGGUUUGGAAGGGUUUUUGGGCUCCAAAACCCCAUUUAAGUGUGUUUAUGGUUUGGGGCUGUUCUGGGGCCGUAAACUCAUUCUAAUGGUCCUAUUUCAUAGAUUAACCACGAAUUUGAAGGCUAAAGAUGUUAUACUAGGAGCUAGGAUAGUUACCUUGAUGAUUUGGAGCUUGAAAUGAGUGAUUUUGGAUCAAGAACUUGGAUUUGAAGAGAGAGGUUAGAGAGAGAGAGUGGAAAAGGCUUCAAAUGAGGCUCUCACAACUUUAUAUAUGGUUAAAAUUUGGGACACGAUGGAAUUCUACCCGAUACGGAUGUUAAGCGAGGCUUUUGGUCGCACCCGAUUAAGUUGUCGGAACCCGAUAUGGUCGAAACUAAAAAUUUUCUAAAUAAUAGUUUGGGAUGUUUUCAUGAGUUUCUAACGUGUUUGAAUACCAAUUAAGUCAUAAUGGAAGUCUUAAAAAUAAUGACUUAAUUUAAAACCUUAAACGGAAACAAUUCGAAAAAGAUGAAUUUUAUGGACGGAAAUGGGUUACGACGAUGGAGCAAACUUCGGGUUGUCACAUUAUCCCCCCGUUAGAGGGAAUUUUGUCCCAAAAUUCAAACUUUAGAUACGACUCAAGGAUUUGGAAAGAGAUACGGAUACUUCUGUUUCAUCGGAUCAUCACGCUCCCAAGUGAACUCAGAUCCUUCACUUAUCGGGAUACGACUUUGUUUCGUAUGUUUAAAUCUCUUGAUCUAUGAUUUCGAUUGGUUCUUCCAUGGGGUUCAGACUUUCGUUGAUUUCGAUCUCAUCAAGGGAAUUACUAAGGUUUCGUCGAAUAGGCACUUCUUAAGGAAAGAGACGUGGAAUACUGAAUGGAGGCUGCUAAGUUCUGAAGGUAAUCGGAGUUUGUAAGCUACGAGAUCGAUCCUAACGAGGAUUUCGAAAGGUCCUAUGUACAUUGGGUUAAGUUUUCUGUGUCUUCCAAAGCAUAUCAUGUCCUUUCUAGGGCUAGACCUAAGGAUUUACAGAAUUCUCUGAGUGUCUUCGGUGCUGACUAAUUUUCUAUCGCCUGCGUCUUGGACAGGUCCACGUGUAUGCCUUCCUAGCUUACCAUGUGACCAGGGUUUGACUACGAGGCUAGCUCCAGGAAUUUUGUCGAUGCGAACUCGACUUGAUGUUCUGGAGGAAUUCCUAGAAGCUCUUCGGGAAAGACACCAGGAAAUAUUGCAGACUUCAGGGAUGCAACUACCCAUUUCUCGAUGGUCACAUAGGCUAGGAACUAAGUUUAUCGCUAAUUCUCUCUUUCUCACCGUUAGCUAUUUCGACGGUAGGCAUUUCGGUUACUAAUGAAGGACUAAGAUUAAGAUGAUGUUCGAAUGAAUAGAUAAUAGAUUCUCUUUCAACAAUAUAAUCGAAAUGGAUUGCAGCUAUAAGGGCUGUCGAGGAGGAAUAUACUGUUGGAUUAAUGUCUAAGUCCAUAACUAUAAUUGGUAAGACUUGACCCGACCCGGCAUGAUCCAUUUGGGUUGCAUGGCAUCAUGCACUUGGAUAGACUAAAAUGAGAGAAAUAACACUUAAAGUUUAUUAAUAUAUUAUAAGUUCUAAUAUAUUAAUAUGAUUAUUUAAUUAGUAUUGAUCAAUAAUUGAUUUAGAAUUAAUUAUGUGAUCAAAAGAAGACUAAUUAAAUAUAUAGGUUGAUUGUGUAAAUCACCUAUACUUAUAUAGUGGCUUAAUGCUCCAUGGAUUAUCAAGUUGGGCUCAAACCCAUUGGAUGCUCCAUGGUGUAUUUGAACCCAUGGAUCCAAGGAAAUGGAAAGCCACGACAAUUAGGGUUUACCCUAAGUGUAACAACUAUAUAAGCAUCUUAUUGAUGUGAGAAAUCGGCCACUAGAUAUGCAUGGAGGGCAAGCCGAUUCUUGAAGUGUUGUAAUUUCUCUCUAAGUUAUUCCAAGUGCUUAUGGUGUUGUGUGAACCAUUUGAGGUGUCACACUUGGGGCACUAGGCACUCAAGCUUAAUGAAGACAAGCACCAACAAAAGGUAUGUUAUUCUAACUUGUGUUAUUCAAAGUUUUGUAUGCUAGAAUAGAACAAUACCUUGGAAAGUUGAUAUUUGCAUGUAUAAUAGAGAAAACAUAGAUCCAAGGUAUUUAGGGUUGCAUGUACACUUAGGAGUGUUAGAUUUCUCAAAACCCAACAUAUACUUGUGGCAAUGGUGGGAUCGGCGGCUGCCUCAUCUUGUCCUAUAGCUAGGACUCUUCCAGUAUUGCCAGUUGUUGUUGUCUUCGGGCAGUUUCGCUUGAAAUGCCCGACUUCACUACAACCGUAGCAGGUCGGACUAAUUCCUGCUCCGGAAGCUUGAUUGGUUGAUUGGGUUGGUGUCUUACAAUUUUUCGCAGUGUGACCCUUUUUGCCACAGUUGUUACAAAACACCUCUCGACAUGGGCUGGAAGUGAGGUGAUGAUAGUUGCACUUGUUGCAUAGAGGGAGGGUACCAACAUACCUACUGGUAGGAGUUUGAGCCGUGGAUCCGACUGUAGAGACAACAGCAGGGGCAGUAGCAGCACGGACUGCCACCAUUUGCUGCAUCUUCGAGGACUCCUGAGAAAGCUAACUCUUUUUCUUUUUCCAAGAUUUUCUUUUCUCACCACUCCUCUCUGUCGGCUCAGGAGUGGUGGCUGCUUCCUCUAGGUCAUCGCUGUGGUCAAUUAGAGUUUGGGCUAGGCUUUUGGCGCUUUCGUAUGUGUCUGGCUUCGCAGCCAAGACAUUUCCCUUGGUUGGCUGGGUCAACCCCCAGAUAAACCUCUCAACCUUUUUACUCUCCGGGGUAACCAUUCCCGGACAAAGUAGUGCCAAGUCAUAAAAUCUUGAAGUGUAAGUGAUGAUAUCGGAACCCUUCAUUUUCAGGUUCCAUAGUUCAUGUUCUAGCUUCUGCAUUUCACCCCGAGGGCAGUACUCCGCAAGCAGAAGUUCCUUCAUGGCCUCCCAACCCAUGGCGUUGGCUACAGGUAGGGUUAGGGAUUUGACUCGGCCGUUCCACCAAAUCAGGGCUUUAUCGGUGAACGUGCAGGCAGCGAACUUCACCUUAUCUGAUUCAGAGCAGGCACACAUUUCAAAAAUAGAUUCGAUUUUUCGAACCAUUAGGUUAGGGCAAUGACACCUCCAGUGCCAUCGAAAGAUGUGGGUUUUGCGUUCAUAAAAUCCUUAUAGGAACACUCUUUUCAGUGUCCCUGGCUACCUUCUUGGUUUUGGGGCUGGGGACCACCUCCUAAACCACCGGGGUUCAUUUGAGACAUGGCGGNGCAGUAACAGCUACCUAGAACAUUACAAGAUCAAAUUGGGGAGGAGGUGGUGGCGGAGGGUUGUUGUUCUUUGAGUUGGGUCUCUUUCUUGGAGGCAUCUUGAUCUAAAAAGAUCAGGAAAGAGAGGAUGGUAAGUCCUCUGAAUUGAAUCAAGAGAUAUGAUACAAGGGAUAUCUCAUUAUGACAGAUAUAGAAUUCUAUUAAGCGAUAAAGCAGGAAAGAGUUGUCAAAGCAGAUAAACUAUCGCUAAAGGAAUGAUUGAGGAGCAAUGCUGGAAUGAGGAUUUCUAUAACGGAUUUGGCUCGAGAAAUACUCCCAUAGUAUUUCAUGAUUCGCUAUGAAGACGGCUCGUUGUUUGGGUAUUGGGUAAGUUUUAGGCAUGCUGAACACUACAGUCACUCCCAAGCACAUGUUGUCCGUGUCUCGAAUGAAUAUAGUUGAUCAGGCUAUAUUGACCCUAGAUACGACUACAUAACUGCUCAGGUUUAACCGCAACAUCCAACACCCAUUUACUUAUCUUUUGUUCUACUCGUAGUUACGGAUUUCGACGGUUAGGUAUACUUGUAUACUUUUGAAAAUACUUAUAUUUUAAAGUAUACUUUUAGUUCAGAGCACUUAGGCCCCUUAAUGUUUAUAGUCUUAUACCAUGUAAGGUUUGGUAUACUAGUUCACUAUAAACAAGGGCUCUCAUACCAAUCUGUCACACCUCGAAAAAGAUGGCGGAAACGUUCCGGGGCGAGGACGUCAUGAAUAUCGCAACCAAUGUACAUAGUAAGUGUAGUAAACACAAAACAUUACAUUACAUAGAAUUAUUACAUUUGUUUGAAAUCAAAGUAUUAGAAGUGUCAUACAUAUAUAUCAUAUGAACAAAAGUUGAGACGAGUCUGAUAAGUGCUCCGUCUUCUCCAAAAGUUCGCGGGGUACCUGUCUAACGUAAACCUAAGAAUACAAGCAGUUUGAAAAUCAGCAUAAAGCUGGUGACUUCAUAAGAGGUUUGUUUUCUGAAAAUGUACAAGUUUCCUUUGGUUUUCUGAAAAAGUUUGUUAUCCAAGAAAAUCCCAUAUUUUCUUAUAAGUAUAGUUUAUUUAUCCGUUUGUUAUACGAUCCGGUUAUGUACAAUUUUUUAUCCCAGGAAAAACCCUUAUUUUCCUUAAAAGUUUAUAGUUGGUUAUCGGUUUCUGAAAGUAAUGUGCAAGAAUCUUCCAUACUUAAAGUGUUUGAGUAACAUUUUCUGAAAGCCUGUUUGUCCCUGAAAAGUACAUUAGUUUUAACACGUCUAUAAAACUAAUAAGUAAGUAUAAAAGUAUUCAUAAUCUUGAUUGCGAGUUGCAUAACCAGGUGUGGGAUAGUCAAUCCCGUAUAGAUCUAUACACUCAAGUCACAUUCUCCCUCCAAGAGAUUCUAGUUACGGGGGUAGUCCUACACUCUCAUAACUAGGGAAAGUGUUACAAGGACGUGUCUUUAAUCUUAAGAUUAAUGAAUUAAAAGAUAAUAAAAAAGGAAAUUCUAUUUAUUUAGUCCUUCACUCUCGUAACUGGUGGGAAUGUUAUCAAGGACUUGUCUAGAGUUCUAAGUUUAAUGUUAUUGGUCCUUCACUCUCGUAUCUAGGGGGAGUCUUAUCAAGGAUGGUUCUAAUAUUCUAAGUUUUAAUGUUAUUAGUCCAUCACUCUCGUAUCUACAGGGAGUUUUAUCAAGGACGGUUCUAAUAUUCUAAGUUUUAAUGUUAUUGGUCAUUCACUCUCAUAUGUUGGGGCAGUGUUAUCAAGGUUGGUUCUAAUAUUCUAAGUGUUAAUGUUAUUAGUCCUUCACUCUCGUAUCUAUGGGGAGUGUUAUCAAGGACGUCUUAAGGUUCUAAGGUUAAUACUUUUAACAAUAAUGAUGUGGAAAUACAUUUGUGAAAUAUAAAAUAUAGCAUUUUAAAACGAGUUUCACAAAUAACAUGAUGGUUUACUCUGCAAGUUGAAGGAUUGGUUAAUACAAUUUUCUGUGUUAAAAGCAUACGAAAUAUGAAAUAGAUAAAAUAAAGUCAUAAGUUUGAGUACAAAAUUUCCUUGUACUUUUGCUUGUAUUCCCCCCUAAAAACAUUGAAAACAUGGAAAAACGUAGGGGUAUGAACUCACAAAUCGAAGAAUGUGCCUGAUUGGAUGCUAACGUCAGUUCGGGGCUUGAACGCAUGCAAGGUUCCUAUGUAAUAUGAAAAGAUACACAUUUGUAUCUGAUUAGGCUUUGUACUACUAAUUAGUUGAUGAUAUACACUUCUAAUCACGAAAACACUUCAUUACAAGUGUUUGGAGUGACCCUGGUGACAUCUAUGGACGUAUAUGGCUUGGAUAUUGAGUUUACUCUUCAAGAGUAAACUCCCUAGAGAGUUUACGGCCCUAAUGACCCACUCCCCAUGAUUUUACGGCCGUAAACUCAUGGUGGGGUGUUUUAGAGUGCUAAAUGGCGUUAUAACAUUUGAGGGGUGAUGCUAGUUUUGGUUUUAAGGCAUUGGAAGUGUUUAACCCAACAUAUGGAACAUUAUAAGGAGUUUACGGCAGUAAACUAAGAGUUUACGGACGUAAGCUCCCCCACACGCCUUCCUUUGAUGUUUUGGUGGUCCUAGGUCAUUUACAAGUGUUUCUAGCUAAAUCUACAAGCCAUGGAAUGAAUUUAAGGCACCGUUUGACUAAGUUAUAGGAGUUUAUGGCCCAGGAACCAUCCUUGGGGGGAUUUACAGUCAUAAGAUCCUAUGGGGGCAGUUUUCAUCAAGUUUAAGGCAUCUAACUUGUUUGUGGUUGCUUCUAGACUUUAUUCCAAGGCUUAUGAGGUGUGUAAGUGGCAUUUUAACACCUUAAAAGGAGUUUACUACCCAUAAAAGGGUGUUUACGGUCCAAGCAUGUGAUUGGGCUGUAAACUCAUGUUUAUACCCUAAAUGAUGAGUUCAAGGUAUUCUAAGUCCAGUUUGGUAAGCCCCUAACUCAUAUCUAAGCUCCAAAUGUGGUUUGGAAGGGUUUUUGGGCUCCAAAACCCAUUUUAUGUGAGUUCACAGCCUAGGACUGUUCUAGGGCCGUAAACUCAUGCUAAUGGUCCUAUUUCAUAGAUUAACCACGAAUUUGAAGGCUAAAGAUGUUAUACCAGGAGCUAGGAUAGUUACCUUGAUGAUUUGGAGCUUGAAAUAAGUGAUUUUGGAUCAAGAACUUGGAUUUGAAGAGAGAGGUUAUAGAGAGAGUGGAAAAGGCUUCAAAUGAGGCUCUCUUAACUUUAUAUAUGGUUAAAGUUUGGGACACGGUUGAAUUCUACCCGAUACUUGUAACGCCUGUGUUUCUGGGCUUGUCAUUAAUGUUGAUAUAAUAGUCUCGGUUAACCUUUGUAACCCGUUUUGAAAUAAUAGAAGUGUAUUAUUUGAGUAUUAUGUGUUAUGUGCUUAAUUGUGUGUCUUAAUUUAAUUAAGAAUAAAAAUAAGCGUCAAAAUGAAAUGUUAGAUAAAGCCGAUAUCUAUGGAUAAUGUUGUAGUAGUUGAAACGAGGUUUCCGAAUAUAUAAAGAAUGCCGAAAUCCGAGUUAUAACGAAGAAGUUAUGACCUGUCGAAGUUUCGCGACAGAACCGACAACGCUGAAUGACGUAAAAAUUGAAAUUUACGUUAGUGCAAUAUUUAGCCUUAGUUAUCUAAUUUAGAGCUCCUUAAACCGAGAGUGUGUAUGAAAAGAACGCUCAAAUCUGACUUCGUAUGAGGAAGUUAUGAUUUUUCGAAGUUUGGACUUAGCAGUAUGCAGCCCGAAUACUCAAANCUAAAAACUCAAAAUAGAGAUCGAGUGAUAUUUAGCCAAAAAUUUCUAAAUGAGAAUUGAAGAUCUCAUUGAUAGUAGUCCAACGAUAAAAAGACAGAUGAAAACGGAGUUCAGAUGAAGGAGUUAUGAAUUUCGAACAGAGUUUUCCUGUCCCGGCCUACAAAAAAUAAUAUAUAAGCAAGAUACUUAUAAUAUAUUACAAAUAAAUUCAAAAUUAGCCAAUGAAGUCUAAACGAGAGUUGUAGAUCAUAAUCUCACCUUCGCGUCGAUAUAAAGAACGUCGAAAACGGAGUUCGUAUGCGAAAGUUAUGAAUUUCUGAAGUUCGGGGCGCGAAACCCCAAAACUGUUAGAGCCCACGACGUGGACCAAGGUUGCCACGACGUGGCAAGUGUCCUGACACCUCCGGGAGGCCCCCAGAUGCAACUUGGGAUGACGCAUGCAGUGACGACCAAGCCCACGACGUGGAACAAGGUUGCCACGACGUGGCAAGGGCCAAAUUUGCCCUAUAAAUAGAUUUGAAGGGCCAGCCGUUUAGGGUUGCUAUUUUCUCUCUUCUCUCUCCCGUUUUGCAUCGAUUUGCGUGCCAGAAAUACCCCGAAGCCCCGGUAUUGUUCUCGAGCCCCGAGGCAAGUCCCGAGAUCCCGAAGAUCCCGAGAAGUGCGGUUCCCGAGCCGAAGCUCUGCCCGCGAGAAGUUCGAUUUUUGUGGAGAUCUUCCAGAUCUGCUGUGGAUUACUACUUCUGCAAGUCGUAGUGCUGUCCGAUCAUCUUCUGAUCAAGUGAGUGUAUACUACCUUUCAUAAACACGAUAAUAAUACAAGUAUGGUUUGAGUGUAUUAAGUAUAUUGUGGUUUAUAUGUGUGAGUGUGUGGUUACUUUCUUCUAACACAUAANNNNNNNNNNNNNNNNNNNNNNNNNNNNNNNNNNNNNNNNNNNNNNNNNNNNNNNNNNNNNNNNNNNNNNNNNNNNNNNNNNNNNNNNNNNNNNNNNNNNNNNNNNNNNNNNNNNNNNNNNNNNNNNNNNNNNNNNNNNNNNNNNNNNNCCAGUGGAACGCUAGCAGGUUCAUAACCUGUAGGUGUUGUGAACGAUGUGUUCACCGGUGUACUCUAUCCCCCUCAUGGUUGCCUUUAGGAUAUCUAUUGUUGAGGAAACCCCUUAGCAGUAAUGUCCAUCCCGAUGAAAAUCCUAGAUGAGGUCCCUUGAGAUAGAUGUUGUUUUAGGGACGUAAAGUAAGGAUAACGGGAACGGGUAAUCGGGAUAGUGUUGGUUGGUGAAAUUAAAUAUAAUUUAUUUAUUGUGGGUUGAAAACCCUAUAUGCUCACCAGGCUCCCAAGCCUGACCCACUCAAUUUUAUUUGUAUUACAGGAAGUGGCGCAAGGGCAUAAGAUGGAUU
This 53412-nucleotide long non-coding RNA is filed under the name Lactuca sativa (garden lettuce). RNAcentral's name for it is "long non-coding RNA (LSAT_LNC009456)". The record is from RNAcentral. Lineage: Eukaryota; Viridiplantae; Streptophyta; Magnoliopsida; Asterales; Asteraceae.